GGUUCAAUCCUAACAAAAAAAUGCUAACCUUCCUAUGUUUUCAUUGUUCUAUUUAGUCGUUUAAUAGAUUUUGAUCAAUGUUUCAAAAAAUCAUUAGGUAGUAAUUAAACGUUUUAUAGGGGAUUAGUUGUACUUGUAUAGAUGGGACGCCUAUAGGCUAUCUAAGCCGAUUUUGAAAAGUAGUUCUUAAAAAUCGUUUCGCUUAAGGCUAAUUUAUUUAUGACAGAUUUAUUAGAACAUUGAUUCACAUUAACCUUGCUAAUGAAUCUGAACUCCUCCCCUUUUUUUGGUGAGUGAAGAGAUAACUGUUCAAGGCAUAAAGUAGUUCCAAGUUGUGGGAGACCAUUGGGACUUAGCUUCCAUAAGAAAACAGGAGAUCUGUACUUUUGUGAUGGUUACUUUGGAGUCAUGAAGGCCGGACCAGAGGGAGGCUUGGCCGAGUUAGUUGUUGAUGAAGCCGAAGGUCGCAAAGUCAUGUUUGCGAACCAAAUGGAUAUAGACCAAGAGGAAGAAGUCUUCUACUUCAAUGAUAGCAGCGACAAAUACCACUUCGAGUAAUUAAAAUUACAUCUUCGUUAAUUUAAAUUCACGGUCUUAAUAUUUUUUUUAUCUGGUUGGUAACAUUAAGCAAAACGUGGAAAAUGAAAACAUAAAUAAAUUGAAUAAUAAAUAAUCUAUGGAAUAGAUUAAUAGAAUGUUACAUAGCUAAUAAAUCUAAAAAAUGAUCGUAUACUAUAUCAAACAAACAUAUAUACUUGUAAGUUGUAACCAACCUGUGUAUGUGUUAUGUUUGUUUUGUCGGACAGGCAAGUGUUCUACGUCUAUAUGUCAGGGGAGAAGACAGGAAGAGUAAUUAGAUACGAUAUGAAGAAGAAAGAGGCCACAGUUAUAAUGGACAAACUUCAUUUGCCUAAUGGUUUAGCUAUAAGCAAGGACGGAUCCUUUGUACUCACCUGCGAAAGUGGUACAAAUACUAUCCAUAGAAUAUGGGUCAAGGGUCCUAAAGCCGGGACCAACGAGGUUUUCGCCAAGAUUCCGGGUCCUAUGGACAAUAUCCGACGCACGCCUACGGGGGAUUUUUGGGUCGCAUUGCAUUCCAAAGACAGUUUGUUCACUCGUGUGUUUGUGAGUCACUCUUUGGUCGGAAAGUUUUUCAUCAAGACGCUAAAGGUGGAGACUGUGGUUCAUCUCAUUAAUGGAGGGAAACCUCAUGGAAUUGUUGUGAAACUCUCUGGAGAGACAGGAGAGAUUCUUGAGAUACUUGAGGACAGUGAAGGGAAGACGAUGAAGUAUGUUAGUGAAGCUUACGAGAGAGAAGAUGGCAACUUAUGGUUUGGGUCUGUGUAUUGGCCGGCCGUUUGGGUGCUUGAUAAAUCUGUUUACGCUCUCAAAUGAGUUAGCAAAUGCAAACAAAAAAGUAAUAAUUUGGUCGUAUGAUCUUCUUUUUUCUAACUUGUUAGAAGACAUGCAUCUUCGUUUGUAUCUUCUUGUUGUUGUGUGAAUGGACUUUGAUUCUGCGAAAUUUUGGUUCAGUUGAGUAAUUCAAUGUAGUUUUGUGGUAAAGCGAAAAUUGUGUUUGUGGUAAAAUGAUUUAUGAUGUACAUCUAGUUAAGGUUCUAGGUUAAUUUUUCCGUUUUGCUAGCAUCCCAUAAUUAAGCACUACUCUACUUGAACUGGUUUCUGAUCUGAAAUUUGAUUUGAUUAACCUGCUCAAUGUGAAUUAGUACUAGAGUUAAGCUCUCUUGCCACUUUUUAAUUUAAUGCACCACCAAAAGUGAUCAAAAAAAAGUUCUGCUAAAUGCUAAAGCCUAUCUCGUAUUUUUUUUUAAAAUUACAUAAUACAUUCAAAAGAGUUAGUUAUUAAUCUUAGCAUUUGGUGCAAUAUGAUCAGUGGGUGGGCUGAGUAUCAACAAUCAUAUAAAACUGAUUAAGAUUUUUGUCCAUUAAAUAUUCUCGUCCAUAACACACACACACAUAUAUAUAUAGUUUAACAGGUUCGUAGAUCCAAUUUUUCGUAUAAUUUUUUUAAUAUUAAAACCCGAAAACUUGAAUUCAUUUGACAAAUAAAUCCACGGUUACAACUAAAAUAUAAACAAACAAAAAUUAUUAAGAAGGAACAAAACUAUAUACAUGUAUGGGACCUUGUGGUCUAGUGGUAAAGAGAAUAACUUGGGAAGCCAACACGUUUCAGAUUUGAUCAACCUAUUGCGCGAACCUAAGUUACAUUCUUCAUGGAUAUCCAAAUGAAUAUGAGUUCUCGCUUUUGGGUCAUUUGAAAAUCGGGAGAGAAAGUAUUCAAGGACUGCAUUUUCUCUUGGAGAUUAGUCUGAACCCUUUGUCUCGAGAUAUCCCCAAAUUAAUAAAAAAUAGUUUAACUCUGUGAUGGUAAUUUUCAUUUAAAAAAAAAACUUUAUGUUUUUAAAUUUUUUUUUAAUGUAAGCUGAUAUAAGAAGUUUCAGUCAUAGAAAUUUAAAUGUAUUUGUUUACACUAAUCUUAGUCAUUUUUUAAAACAUGAUUUAAGAUAAAUUUCUAUUCAAAUUAGAUUUUCUAAAAUAUGAAAUAUGAAAACAUAUUCUAUUUUUUAGUUUUUGUUUAAAAGGAUACGAUAUGGCUCUAAAUUUUGAAUGUUCAAUAAAUGUAAAAAAAAAUUAAUGCCGAUUUUUAAAUCGGAUGUGUCAAGUCAAAAUUUUAUUAUUCAAUGUGUUUGACAAAAACAAUUGUCGUAAAUUUAAAGAUAUAUGGUUAUUUUGCGUUUGAUUCUGAUUUUAUAACAUAUUUAUAUUUGUUUUUAUUUUUAUUUUGUAACAUAUAAGAAGUUUCAGUUAGAUAAAUUUGAAUGUAAUUGUUUGCAAUAAUCUUAGUCAUUUCUUAAGAUAAAUUUAUAUCUGAUUAGAUUUUCUAUAAUAAGAAAUAUUCAAAUAUAUUAAACUUUAUACUUUAUGUUUAAAAUGAUAUAAUCGGGCUUUAAGUUUUAAAUGUUCCAAACAUGUAAAAUAUUUGAACACUUCUUUUUAAAUCAAAUAUUUCAAACUAAUUUUUUAUUAUUGAAUGUGUUUGAGAUAAAAUAUCAUAAAUUUAAAGAUAUAUUUCUAUUCAUAAUAUUUUUUAGAUUGUUUGAAAACUUAUAAUUAUUUUCCUUUUGAAUAAAAUUAGAACAAUCCUUUUUUUAUCUUUGAGAUUUUUGAAAUUUUUUUUUAAGAUGAUGAGUUUGUGAAGAAAAUAAUAUUUUGUGAUUGAUUCUGAUUUUAUAACAUCUUGAUAACCUAUUAUAAAGUACUUUAUACAUUCAUAAAAUAACUUACAAACCUUUUACAAAUUUUAGUAGGGGUUAUUGGUUGUUGUAUUUUAAUGGAUUUGAAAAUCCGAACCAAAUCUAGUGUUAUUGGUUCUGUGAUUUUAAAAUCUGUAUUAAAAUCAUGUGUUAUUGGUUUAAUGAUUCAUAAAUUCUAUAUUAAAUCAAGUGUUAUUCAAUCGUACGAAUUUACUAAUAUAUUUGAUUUUAUAAUGGAUUUGAAUGAAUUUGUUUGGAUUUUUUUGUUAAAAAUACAAAGACUCAAAUCCGAGGGAAAACCUUCGGAUUUGCAUAUUUUACUUGGAUUUAUAAAUACUAUAUGGAGUUAUAAAUCAAUCAAAAUAUAUAAACCAAUAACAAACCUUUAUGAAUAAUUUCACAGAACCCUUGUCCUCCGUCUUCUCUUUGCUGCUGUCUCGUCUUCUCGUGUUUCCUCGCCGUCUUUUCGCGAUUCAGGGGUAGAGUCUCAUUCCAGAGACGAGGUCCGAGUCGAGAGGAGUCUUCCGACUGGUGGUGGUUCUUCUUCUCCUGGUGUUUCGGCGCGGCGAAGACUGGUUCUCGAGACAGUGGUCGGCUUUUUAGUUUAUGAAAGCUGCUAGGUUUUUAUCUCUCGGCGCUUUUGGUUGUUACUAAACGAGCAGAGGACUGAGAGCUUCUCUUCUGUUCAUUUCAUCGGUCGUCUCUGCGGGUUUUUUCCAGGAGAUGGUGGCAACGGUGGAUCGUUCUUGACCUCUUCAAUGGUAUGUUGAAGAGCGAUGCGCCUUCUCCCUAGUCAAAAUGUGCGCUGGUGGGUCCUUUACCAUACUGGCGCACCCUGAACCUUUGUGUGCUGGUGUGAAGGUACUUAGUUCAGUUCCAGCUCGCGUUAGGGUGGUGAGUCGUCUGAAGGAGUCGUCUAUCGCUUCUCGGUGGCGGCUCACAGUUCUUCUUCACUUCCAAUCUCUUCUACUCAUCUCCUUCUCCUGUCAUCCGACUGAAGGUGGCCUCUUUCUUUGCGGAGCUUAGGCCUUUGUAUCACCUUGUUUUGUUUGGUUUCUGUUGAUACCAGAAGCCGCUCCUAGCAGCUCAGAUUAUUUUCCUUCGUUCUUGGAGGCUUCAAGUGUUGUGACGGUUCUUGGCUGAUGUCACACUUCGUCUAUGCUCACAUCCGAGAAUCGUAUAGGUUCACAUGAUCUUGUGCGGUGGUGCAGCUUGACUUGUCUGUGCAGGCUCGAGGUCCUUUUCAGGCUUGGGAGUGUUGGUGAUAACAACUCCGUUCUUGCAUUCAAGCAGCAGUAGCGGGUGUACAUCUCGUUUUUGAAACUCCGCUCAGGUAAGGGAUCUUUUGGAACUCCCGCUUUUUGUUGUUUCGAGCUUUAGUGUCGAAUUAGAUUAUUAACUUAGAUGAGAUCAUCGUAAGUUAGUUACUCCGGAGGCGACAUGGGAAGACCCUGGCAUCCGAGGAAACGAGGGGAAUCUCUCCUUCUCGUGGUUCUCAUUGAUGGUUGAGAACGAUUUUCAAUAGGAUUACGAAUCCGAGCUAGCGGAACGCGCCAUGUAUAUGGUCGAGCAAAGCUAGUUAAGAGCAUUUUGAUUUGAGAAAUUUUGUUUAGUCGAAGUUUGUAAUUGAAAUCUAUUCCCAUUUCGGGUUGAUAGAUAAAAUUUUAAUUUUUCUAUUAAAAAAAACUAUGUCUCUGUUUUUGUUACAUCUUGUUUGGAUUCGAAUAUGAUGCAGUACAAAAGCAGAAGAAACACAUGAGAAAUAGUCUUCAGUUUUAUCUGCAUUUUUUGUCUAUUCAUCGUUAAUAUGCAGAACAAAAGGAAAUAAUAUAAUAUUUAAUAAACUGUUUGUAAAUAAUUUUAUAUGUAAAAAAAAUUGUCCCCCAAACAUAGCAAAAUAAAAAGAUGACCAAAAACAUAGGGCCAAUAGGUGAUUUUUUUUUUCCUAAAAAUACUACACCCAUCUUAAUUUAUUGGAAAAUUGCCAAAAAUACAUUUUUGAAAGUACCACCUUUCAUGUUUACAAUAACCACUUUUACAUUCAUCUUUAAUGAACGGUAAAAGACAUUUAUACCCUUUUGAUUAAUUUUGACCAAAAAAAAACAUAUGGUUAACUAAUCUACACUUAAAACAUCGACUCUAAACCCUAAAUCAUCAACUCUAAACUCUAAACCCUAAACAUCAACUCUAAACCUUAAACCCCGAAACAUCAACUCUAAACCCAAAACCCUAAACCUUCAAAUCUAAACCCUAAAACAUCAACUCUAAACCCUAAACGUAAACACUGAACCCUGAAUCCUAUAUUUUUCUGAAAUUCGAACCCUAAACCCUAAAACCCUAAACCUUCAAAUCUAAACCCUAAAACAUCAACUUUAAACCCUAAAUGUAAACCCUAAACCUUAAAACCCUAAACCUUCAAAUCUAAACCCUAAAACAUCAACUCUAAGGUUUUAGGGUUUAGGGUUUAUUAUUUAGGGUUUAGGGUUUAGAGAUAAGGGUUUAGGGUUUAGAGUUGAUGUUUCAGGGUUUAGGGUUCGUAUUUUAAAAAAAAAGGUUUCAGGAUUGAUGGAAAUCUAAACCCUAAAACAUCAACUUUAAACCCUAAAUGUAAACCCUAAACCCUAAAACCCUAAACCUUCAAAUCUAAACCCUAAAACAUCAACUCUAAGGUUUUAGGGUUUAGGGUUUAUUAUUUAGGGUUUAGGGUUUAGAGAUAAAGGUUUAGGGUUUAGAGUUGAUGUUUUAGGGUUUAGAGUUGAUGUUUUAGGGUUUAGAGUUGAUGUUUUAGGGUUUAGGGUUUAGAGUUUACUUUUUAGGGUUUAGGGUUUAGUGUUGAUAGUGUUGGGUUUAGUGUUGAUGGUUUAGAGUUUAGAGUUGAAGUUUAGGGUUUAGGGUUUAGAGUUGAUGUUUUAGGGUUUAGAGUUGAAGGUUUAGGGUUUAGGGUUUAGGGUUUAGAGUUGAUGUUUUGGGGUUUAGGGUUUAGAGUUGAUGUUUCUGGGUUUAGGGUUUAGAGUUGAUGUUUCAGGGUUUAGGGUUCGUAUUUUAAAAAAAAAGGUUUCAGGAUUGAUGGUUUAGGGUUUAGGGUUGAGUUUUAGGGUUUAGAGUUUGAAUUUCGAAAUAGUAUAAUUUAUUUAAAUAUUUUUGUAAUAUGUAUUUUUUAUAUAUAUAAAGAAUAAGGGCAGAAGAGUCUUUUGCCACUUAACGAAGAAUGUAUUUUUGAAAAUGUAUUUUUUGUGGAGGUAAAAAUGAAAAUUGGUAGCAUGAAAGUGGUAAAUAUGUCAGUUUCCCAUUUAUUGGAAAAUUGCCAAAAAUACAUUUUUCAAAGUACCACCUUUCAUGUUUACACUAACCACUUUUACAUUCAUCUUUAAUGAAGGGUAAAAGACAUUUAUACUCUUUUGAUUAAGUUUGACAAAAAAAAACAUAUGGUUAACUAAUCUAAACUUAAAACAUCAACUCUAAACCCUAAACCAUGAAACAUCAACUCUAAACCCUAAACCCCGAAACAUCAACUCUAAACCCUAAACCCUAAACCAUCAAAUCUAAACCCUAAAACAUCAACUCUAAACCCUAAACGUAAACAUUGAACCCUGAACCCUAUAUUUUUCUGAAAUUCCAACCCUAAACCUUCAAAUUUAAACCCUAAAACAUCAACUCUAAACCCUAAACCCUAAACUUUCAACUCUAAACCCUAACACAUCAACUCUAAACCCUAAACCCUAAACCAUCAAAUCUAAACCCUAAAACAUCAACUCUAAGGUUUUAGGGUUUAGGGUUUAUUAUUUAGGGUUUAGGGUUUAGAGAUAAAGGUUUAGGGUUUAGAGUUGAUGUUUUAGGGUUUAAAUUUGAAGGUUUAGGGUUGGAAUUUCAGAAAAAUAUAGGGUUCAGGGUUCAAUGUUUACGUUUAGGGUUUAGAGUUGAUGUUUUAGGGUUUAGGGUUUAGUGUUGAUAGUUUAGGGUUUAGAGGUGAAGUUUAGGGUUUAGGGUUUAGAGUUGAUGUUUUAGGGUUUAGAGUUGAAGGUUUAGGGUUUAGGGUUUAGGGUUUAGAGUUGAUGUUUUGGGGUUUAGGGUUUAGAGUUGAUGUUUCUGGGUUUAGGGUUUAGAGUUGAUGUUUCAGGGUUUAGGGUUCGUAUUUUAAAAAAAAAGGUUUCAGGAUUGAUGGUUUAGGGUUUAGGGUUGAGUUUUAGGGUUUAGAGUUUGAAUUUCGAAAUAGUAUAAUUUAUUUAAAUAUUUUUGUAAUAUGUAUUUUUUAUAUAUAUAAAGAAUAAGGGCAGAAGAGUCUUUUGCCACUUAACGAAGAAUGUAUUUUUGAAAAUGUAUUUUUUGUGGAGGUAAAAAUGAAAAUUGGUAGCAUGAAAGUGGUAAAUAUGUCAGUUUCCCAUUUAUUGGAAAAUUGCCAAAAAUACAUUUUUCAAAGUACCACCUUUCAUGUUUACACUAACCACUUUUACAUUCAUCUUUAAUGAAGGGUAAAAGACAUUUAUACUCUUUUGAUUAAGUUUGACAAAAAAAAACAUAUGGUUAACUAAUCUAAACUUAAAACAUCAACUCUAAACCCUAAACCAUGAAACAUCAACUCUAAACCCUAAACCCCGAAACAUCAACUCUAAACCCUAAACCCUAAACCAUCAAAUCUAAACCCUAAAACAUCAACUCUAAACCCUAAACGUAAACAUUGAACCCUGAACCCUAUAUUUUUCUGAAAUUCCAACCCUAAACCUUCAAAUUUAAACCCUAAAACAUCAACUCUAAACCCUAAAUGUAAACCCUAAACCUUCAAAUAUAAACCCUAAAACAUCAACUCUAAGGUUUUAGGGUUUAGGGUUUAGGGUUUAUGAUUUAGGGUUUAGGGUUUAGGGUUUAGAGAUGAAGGUUUAGGGUUUAGAGUUGAUGUUUUAGGGUUUAGGGUUUAGUGUUGAUAGUUUAGGGUUUAGAGGUGAAGUUUAGGGUUUAGGGUUUAGAGUUGAUGUGUUAGGGUUUAGAGUUGAAAGUUUAGGGUUUAGGGUUUAGAGUUGAUGUUUCGGGGUUUAGGGUUUAGAGUUGAUGUUUCAGGGUUUAGGGUUCGUAUUUAAAAAAAAAGGUUUGAGGAUUGAUGGUUUAGGGUUUAGGGUUUGAAUUUCGAAAUAGUAUAAUUAAUUUAAAUAUUUUUGUAAUAUGUAUUUUUUAUAUAUAUAAAGAAUAUGCGCAGAAGAGUCUUUUGCCACUUAAUGAAGAAUGUAUUUUUGAAAAUAUAUUUUUUGUGGUGGUAAAAAUGAAAAGUGGUAGCAUGAAAGUGGUAAACAAGUAAUUUCCCCUAAUUUAUUUCAUUUAUUAACCAAAAAAACUAUAUAAUAUUUUUGUAAACAAUUAUAUAUUUUUUACUUGAUAUAUUCAUAAAUUUAACUUAAUUUUCUGUAUAAAUAUUUAUAUAGUUACACUAAAUAAUUUUAUAUAAUAUUUAAAUAAAUAUAAAAACAUAUAUGGUUGGUUUUAUUUUUCUUAUUGAUAACAAUUAACAUAAAUUUUCCUAAUUAACAGUUAUGUACAAAAAGAAAAUUCAUCUUAUAAGAUUUUUAUAGAAAUCAGUAUUUAAAUGAAUUCAUGCGUUUUAUUAACUGAUUAUAUUUAAAAUUUUAAAUAGUUAUUUUAUUAUCCUUCAUAUUUUAGACAAUGAAAUUUCGUAUAUAAUUUCUUUUUUUUAUCAUACAUAUAUAUAUUAUAAGACAUUCAUGUAUUUUUAUCCUUUGUUUGUUUAACUGGUUUUUCAUAUUUCAGGUUAUUUAUAUCCACAAAAAUAAUUGCAAAAUAAAAGUACAUUUUCAAUUUGUUUCUUAAGUGAAUUAUAUAUUUUAAAUAUGUUUAAAAUAAGAUAUUUGGAGUUUAGAAAAGGAAACCUUAUAACAAACAUUAGAUAAAUUAUUGCAAAUAUGUUAUGCACAAACAAAAAUACUCUAUAUGAAUUUUUCAGUUUAAUUGUAUGUUGUAAUUGUAUUUAUUUUUACAUAAUGUUUAAAUUUUCAUCGUAUUUAAUAAAAUAAUAAUAUUAAUUGUUUAUAUAUAAGAAUUUGUAAUUUUAUUUUAAAUAUUUAAAUUAUAUAUUUAUUUAUUUUUACAUUCUUUUAAAUAUGAUAAUUUUGUAAAUUAGUUUAACUAGUUCGAUCUACAUUUGUUUUGCAAAUUUAUUUGCUCUGCAAAUUUAAAUGAUUUGUAUUUGUUCUAUUUGAUAUGCAUAAAUAUGUUUGAUCCACAUAUUUUUUUGAUCUGCGUCCCCAUUAAUCGUCGGUGGUGUUUCCUAUUGGUACAGUAACAAAAACGAGUCAUUGGUCCCUUGUUCUGAGUGUUUUUCUGAGAAAGAAUAGUUUAGUAUUAUCGAGACUAGUGGCCUAGAAAACAUUGUAUGGGUCAAAGAUCAAGAAAGUUUUGUUCAGAAAAGAAACAGUAUAAAGACAAAAGGUAGAAAACAUUGUAAGCCUUUUUGGUUAAAGAGAACACUAAUAUGUACCUGCUCAACGUGUGUAACGAGUGUUGUGUCCGAAACACUUGAAAAAGAAUAUCUGUUUUAUCUAUUUAAUAGAGUAAUCAAGUGCACUAUCAUCAUUCACAUAACAACUUCUCCUGAGAGACAAGAGAGAUGCCGAUUAGCCAGAGAGUUCUGAAGCAGGUUGCAGCCUUUCCGGUUGUUUUAGCCAUCGUUUGCUAUUUCUUCUGGCCAUCAAUCAUCGCGCCGGACCUCCUAAAGGGCACGAAGGACGUUCUCCAAAUGGCUAAGACCAUUCCUCUCCCUGGUGAUGGACCAGAGAGCUUAGAAUUUGAUUCACAAGGUGAAGGCCCUUACGUUGGCGUCACUGACGGUCGCAUCCUCAAAUGGCGCGGUGAAGAGCUAGGCUGGGUUGAGUUUGCCUACUCUUCUCCUCACAGGUUCAUUCCUAACAAAAAGUUGCCAACCUUCCUAUGUUUUCGUUGUUCCAUAACUAGUCGUCCAAUAUAUUUUCAUCAAUGUCCAACAAAUCAUUUAGUAAUUAAACGUUUUAUAGGGGAUUAAUUAGGGUAUAGGUGGGCGCCUAUACGCUGUCUAAACCGAUUUUGAAAAAUAGUUCUAGAAAUCUUUUCGCUUAAGACUAAUUUAUUUAUGACCGAUUUGUUAGAACAUUGAUUUUCAAUAACCUUGCUAGUGAAUCUGACCCGCUUUUUUGUUUUGGUGAGUGAAGAGAUAACUGUUCGAGGCAUAAAGUAGUUCCAAGUUGUGGGAGACCAUUGGGACUUAGCUUCCAUAAGAAAACAGGAGAUCUGUACUUUUGUGAUGGUUACUUUGGUGUCAUGAAGGUCGGACCAAAGGGAGGCUUCGCCGAGUUAGUUGUUGAUGAAGCCGAAGGUCGCAAAGUCAUGUUUGCGAACCAAAUGGAUAUAGACCAAGAAGAAGACGUCUUCUACUUCAAUGAUAGCAGCGAUAAAUACCACUUCGAGUAAUUAAAAUUACACAUUCGUUAAUUUAAAUUCACGGUCUUAAUAUUUUUUAUCUGGUUGGUAACAUUAGCAAAACGUGGAAAUGCCAAUAAAAAUAAAAUGAAUAAUAAAUAAACUAUAGAAUAGAUUAACAGAAUGUGACAUAGCUAAUAUAUCUAAAAUAUGAUCGUAUUUUUUUUUUGAUCAAACAAACAUAUAUACAUGUAACCAACUUGUGUAUGUGUUAUGUUUGUUUUGUUGGACAGGCAAGUGUUCUACGUGUAUAUGUCAGGGGAGAAGACAGGAAGAGUAAUUAAAUACGAUAUGAAGAAGAAAGAGGCCACAGUUAUAAUGGACAAACUUCAUUUACCUAAUGGUUUAGCUCUAAGCAAGGACGGAUCCUUUGUACUCACCUGCGAAAGUGGUACAAAUACUAUCCACAGAAUAUGGGUCAAAGGUCCCAAAGCCGGGACCAAUGAGGUUUUCGCAAAGAUCCCGGGUCCUAUGGACAAUAUCCGACGCACGCCUACGGGGCAUUUUUGGGUCGCACUGCAUUCCAAAGACAGUUUGUUUACUCGUGUGUUUCUUAGUCACUCUUUUGUUGGAAAGUUUUUCAUCAAAACGCUGAAGGUGGAGACUGCGAUUCAUCUCGUUAAUGGAGGGAAACCUCAUGGAAUUGUUGUGAAACUCUCUGGAGAGACAGGAGAGAUUCUGGAGAUACUUGAGGACAGUGAAGGGAAGACGAUGAAGUAUGUUAGUGAAGCAUAUGAGAGAGAAGAUGGCAAGUUAUGGAUUGGGUCUGUGUAUUGGCCGGCCGUUUGGGUUCUUGAUAAAUCUGUUUACGGUCUCAAAUGAGCUAGUAAUUUGGUGGUAUGAUCUUCUUUUUAACUUGUUAGAAGACAAGCAUCUUCUUUUGUAUUUUCUUGUUGUUGUGCGAGUGGACUUUGAUUCUGAAGUUUUGAGUUGAGUUGUUUAAUGGAGUUUUGUGGGAUUUUAUAAAUUUUGUCAGGUGGUUAAAAAGAAAAUUUUGUGGGAUUUUAUAAAUUUUGUCAGGUGAUAAACCAUCUACAAAUAUAUAUAUAUAUUUUUAAAAUAGUUUCUCAUAAUUUGGUAACAUUUAAAAAUUAGCACCAAAGAUAUACACGAAAUCAAAAUAUACCCAAAAAUCCGUGAUAAACUAUAAAUAUCAAACAUCACAAAAUAUAUCCAAAAACCAAAACUAGAUCGAAUACAUACAUAAUUUAAUUUAUUACUUAUUUUUGGUGUCACAAUAUAUUUUAAAAUCUCAUUUUUUUUUUUUUUUGUUUUCUUGGAAUUUCUCUUAUAUUUUAGGUUUUGAGUAUAUUUUAUGUAUUUAAUAUAUUUAAAUAUUCUCGUUAUUUGAAUAUAUUUUGAUAAUUUUUUAUUGUUUAUAUAAUCAUAUAUUUAAUUUAACCAUGGUCCAAGCGGCGAUGCGAAAGGCGAUCUAGUGUUCUAGGGUUUCGAUGAUUCAAAGGUAUUGGGAUCCUGGGAUUAGAGAGGAGGAGAGGUUAACGGGUCGAUUUGAAUCGGAGAUUCGAUUUGGAGAUGGGAUUCUCCAAGGUCGGAAGGCUGAAGAUGGAAACUCGAGAUUUUCUUUUGAUUUUGGAUGGGUUGGUUUGAUCGAGGUUACGAUGAAGAUGGAGAUUUGGAUUUGGCGAAAACUAAGGAUUACGAGGAUCGGGAUUUUGAUUUUAAUUUCGAUCAUCAUCAAGACGAAAUUGAAUCAAGAAGAAAACGUAUCUUUUCUCUUUCCUUUAGUUUGAUCAAUCAGAGAUGUGGAGAUACGAAGAUAUCCCGAAAAGUGUUUCAGAAGGAAAGUUAUAAUGUCCUGGUACGAGAAAUGUGGGAUUGUAGAAUGAGUUUGUGGUUAAUGGGAUUAUUACGGGAGAUUGAUUCUGUUAUCAUGAAUCAAAGAGAAAUUAAGGAAAAUUGUGGGAGCCCUAGGAUGAGGAUUUGGGAUCAGUAUAAAAGGAAGAAGGGGUUCUAUACUUGGAUCAUAUACCUUGUAACUUUCUCUCUUGCUAUUGACAAAGAUCAAAGCUUUAUUCUUUUUCUUUUGGCUAUGACACAGAGUCAACUUUUGAGCAAUGUGGGGGAGGUGAAGAACGGAGAAGGAACUCGCAGAAGAUUUCAGUGCCCCAUUUCGAUAAUUCAGCUCUCAUCAAGACUUUUUCCAAAACUCUUAUUGGAAGAUGUAUGAAUCCGGAGGAGCAGGAGAUGAAGGCUCUGAUCUCGAAUCUCCCGAAGAUAUGGAAAUUUGAGGAGAGGGUUGUUGGCUCGGAUUUGGGUUUUGAGAAGUUCCAGUUUGACUUCGAAAAGGAGGAGGACAUGGAGGGGGUUCUUAAGCUUCAACCUAUUCAUUUUGAUUACUGGAUGUUGUCCUUGGCGCGGUGGCAACCUAACAAGUCCUUGCUCUACCCGUCGGAGAUAACAUUUUGGGUUAGAGUCAUAGGAGUCCCGUGGGAGUUCAAAACGGAACCCACUUUUGAGAGCAUUGGUGACGCCAUAGGAAGGACAGUGGCUGUAGAUUUGGAUCACUCUCGCGUGCAAGUGGUGGUUGAUGCUUUUAAUGAGCUGUGUUUUGAAACCACGGUAGACUUCACUGGUGGGGAGUUUUAUGAUGGAGAGGAAGCUCCGGUAUCGCUGCUGUAUGAGAAGCUGUUUGGAUAUUGUCAAGUGUGUGGUAGUCUGUGCCAUAAAGAUGAAGUCUGUCCCUUAGAUGUGAAGAACAUCAAGAAGAGCCCAGAAAAGAAACGAGAAGGAAGAGAAGGUAAUGGUGCUUGGUACGAUGGAGGGAAGUAUGAUGAUCGCGCAAGGAGUUAUAAAGGUGUAGUCAUUAAUGGAAACGCGAAUCAACAGAAUAAAGAAAGAGAAGGCCGGGAGUAUUAUGGCAAAAGUAAGGGCAAGAUGGGGGAGGAAACAUAUUCUAAAUGGAUGAAGGUGUCAGAGAGAGGAAGUAAGAGAGCCUACACUAACCGUGGAACUUAUAGAGGAGAUGGGGAAGCUUCUCGGCACAGACCUGCGAGGAGAGAGGACUCAAGGCCUGGCGCUAAGAGUGGACAAAUUCGACCCUCUUCAGGACAGACUAGGGAGCAACAGCCUCAACAAGAUGCUCGUGAGGAAGUUCGAGAGGAGGUUGAGAUCAGGUCCGCUGAGGAGUCUCGCGCAAUGCCACCUUCUCAAGCGUUUCAAGUGGAACUGGCCAAAUCUCAGGCUGAGGGAACGACAGUCAUCUCGGAUCCUAUUGAUGUGGACCAAGGGUUGGCAGCGGUACAUGGUAUGCAGGAGGAUCAUGUGGACUUAGAAGAUGAGGAUGUAAUGGACAUGGAUGAGAUUAAGGCUCAUCUACUUGAGAAUGAUAUAGAUAUGGAUGCAAAGGAUUUUUUAGAGAAGCUAGAAGAGGAGGAAACUAAGGAAGUGGGCAAGAAACAGAAAGAGGAGAACAAUGCUCAAGAGACAGACGAGGUGGUGUUUGUGGAAGAAGAGCAAGGCACGCUUGGUGGAGAUGCGGUGAAGAAACCAGGAUUACGUAAGAGUCUAUUCAAGCCGUCGACCGGUACUGCGGGAAGUACUAAAAUGAGAGCGUUCAAUGCGCUUGCGUCACCACGUAAGCGAGCUGCAGAGAGGCCAGGAACACGACACGGAGAUACCACCAAUCAAGCAGAGAGUAAGGGUGCUUCAAACCCGAAACUUGGAAAUCAGAGGAUCUGAUUUAUGGUUAGAGUCUUUUCUCAAGGUUUUUCAAGCAGGCAGGGCCUGUCUUAUGAUUUAGGUUGUUUUCUGGUUUUAAUAAGCUCUAUGAGCACUUGCAUUUUUUCUGUUUCUAAGAGUUGUAAGCGUCUGGUCUUACUGCGGUUUUAUGGUGGCUGUUAAGGGAUUUCUUUGAGGAAAAGCAAUGGAAUAAUAAAACAGUCUUGUGUUAUUGGUUUUGUCGUCUAACUAUGGUAAUGAAUUCUUGUAAUCGUUUUGGUUAUAUAGAUGGAUAUAGGAUUAGAAUGUGGGAUGAUGGUCUCGUUGGUUUGGAAAGGAAUCAGAGACAUAAUAGUCUUGUGGCGGGAAGGCGUCUGGUGAGUUUGUCAGAUUGUAGGAGGCGUCUGGUGAGUUUGUUAGGUUUCCAGUGGUGGCACAUGAAGUUAGGAGUUUUGGGUUUUAUCAUUUUUGCAUUGGGGACCACAGACUGUUUUAUAGUUUUGGUAUGUUACUUAUUUGGCAGAGUGAGAUCUCUUUUGUUAAUAGAUGUUCAAUGUUUGGAGAGGUUCUGGUUUAUUGGAUAUGGUGUUGCAGGUUUCUCUUUUAAGAAUAGCUUGAGGGGUUUGGAUUAUCUUAUUGUCUCUGAUACGGUGCGCGAACGUGUUGUGUCCUUGGUAUCAUCAAACCAGGAUCAGUUACUGAUUGGAUGGAGGGGAUUAUAUUAUGAUGCAUAUGCAAUGCGAGCUGAGGUUUUUUUCUCAAACCAAGAAGACAGUGGGUGUUGGUUUUUUAGUGAAACAAACUGGUUUCAAGUGGGAGUGGGUGGUUUUGCGUAUAAAAUGUGUGGCUUUGGUGGGUUACAAGACUGUAGUUUUUUUCUCGUUUAUGGAAUCGAUUUUGUAUUAUUAUGGAGGCUAAGUGAUAGAAAUUGGACAGUAUUAGUGGUAUCAUUUUCGAUUAUUAUGGGAUGGUUCAGAUCACAAAGAAAGGAAAAUAGUUGGAUUGUGGAAAUAGGGUAUCAUUACACCCAUAGACACUCGGCUCUCAGAGCAAAUAAAGAAUAAAUUUUUUAAAUGCGGGUUUUGAGUUGGAAUUGCCGAGGGAUGUGAAGUAAGUGAACUCUAAGCUAUUUGAGCGAGAUAAGGUAUAAACAUAAACCGGAUUUAUUGUUUUUAUCAGAGACAAAACAAGAUUCAGAGUUUGUCCAAAAAUGGCAAGCUCACUUUGGAUUCGAUAACCUAGUCACUAUAGACCCAGUGGGGAGAAGUGGCGGAUUAGCGCUUUUCUAUAAUAAUAAGUAUCAGGUAAAGGUAUUAUAUUCUAGUAACCGAAUGAUUGAUGUGGAAGCGGAAGUCCUGGGCAAAACGGUCUAUCUUACAUUUGUAUAUGGGGACCCAGUUCAAAAAAUGCGGGAACAAGUAUGGGAACAGUUAACUUGAUAUGGACUGGCGAGAUCCGACCCCUGGUUUAUUAUUAGGGAUCUCAACGAGAUUACUGGAAAUCAUGAAAAAGAUGGUGGGGCUAUAAGGAGUGCAGAUUCUUUUAUUCCUUUCAAUAAUAUGAUAAGAAAUAGUGGUCUGGUAGAAUUUCCGGCUAGGAGAAAUAAAAUGUCAUGGCAAAGGAGAAGAGGAAAAGGGAAAGGGGCAGUGAUGGUUCGAUGCCGUUUGGACCGUGCGCUAACAAAUGAAGAAUGACAUACCCUAUUUACAUGUUCCUUUACAGAGUAUUUUGGGAUGGUGGCUUCUGAUCAUCGUCCAGUGGUAGCUUAUAUGGAAGAAAAAGGUCCCAGACGGAAAUGACAAUUUCGGUUUGAUAAGAGGUGGAUUGGGCUAGAGGGUCUCCUAGAAUCAAUUACAAUGGGUUUGAUAGAUUCUAAUGAAGAAAUAGUAGGGGGGGGGGGGGGGGGCAGAGAGCAUAGUGGCAAAAAUUAGUAACUGUCGUCAUGAAAUUGCAAAAUGGCGGAAAAAUAAUUCACCUUAUGGAAAAAAAAAAUAAAUGAGUUACAACAAGCACUUGAAGAGGUGCAAACAAAUAAUACUAGGUCUCAAGAGGAUAUUCUGGAGGUGUCUAGGAAAUUACAAGACGCAUAUAAGGAUGAAGAAGAUUACUGGCAUCAAAAAAGUAGGAACAUGUGGUAUUCAUCUGGGGAUCUGAAUACAAAAUUUUAUCAUGCUUUAACUAAGCAACGGAGAGUUCGCAAUAGAAUUGUUGGAUUACAUGAUGCUAAUGGGAAUUGGAUUACAGAGGAUAAUGGUGUGGAAAAGGUGACAGUGGACUAUUUCGAAGAUUUAUUUACUACCACCUCCCCAUCGGAAUUUGAUAGUUUCCUGAUAGAGAUUACACCGGGCAUCACUCCUCAGAUGAAUCAACGCUUGUUGAAGCUAGCGACGGAGGAGGAGGUUAAAGAGGCUUUGUUUAUGAUGCACCCAGAAAAGGCGAUUAACAAUAUUUAUAUGAUACUAAAAACGGAGAGACCUACAAGGAUGACGGAACUGAGGCCAAUCAGUCUCUGUAAUGUAGGAUAUAAAAUCAUUUCUAAGGUCUUGUAUCAGCGUUUGAAAAUAUGUCUUCCCUUACUCAUUUCCGAGACUCAAUCUGCAUUUAUGGCAGGAAUAUUGAUUUCUGAUAAUAUUCUUAUCGCCCAGGAAAUGUUUCGCGGAUUGCGGAUAUCGGGUUCUUAUAAAUGGUCAACCACGUGGCCUCAUUGUACCACAUAGGGGUUUACGUCAAGGAGAUCAUUUAUCGCCUUAUUUAUUUAUUCUCUGCACUGAGACUUUAAUUGCAAAUAUAAAAAAGACAGAGAGAGGACAACAAAUUAUGGGAAUGAAGGUAGCUCGAGCUUGCCCAUCGAUUUCUCAUUUGCUUUUUGCGGAUGAUAGUCUUUUCUUUUGUAGAGCUCAAAAAGAAGAGUGUCAAACAAUCCUUAGGAUUUUAAAGGAAUAUGAGGCAAUUUCAGGGCAGCUAAUAAAUUUUGAUAAGUCUUCCAUUCAAUUUGGAUAUAAGAUUGAAGUAGGAUUGAUGGUUUAGGGUUUAGGGUUGAGUUUUAGGGUUUAGAGUUUGAAUUUCGAAAUAGUAUAAUUUAUUUAAAUAUUUUUGUAAUAUGUAUUUUUUAUAUAUAUAAAGAAUAAGGGCAGAAGAGUCUUUUGCCACUUAACGAAGAAUGUAUUUUUGAAAAUGUAUUUUUUGUGGAGGUAAAAAUGAAAAUUGGUAGCAUGAAAGUGGUAAAUAUGUCAGUUUCCCAUUUAUUGGAAAAUUGCCAAAAAUACAUUUUUCAAAGUACCACCUUUCAUGUUUACACUAACCACUUUUACAUUCAUCUUUAAUGAAGGGUAAAAGACAUUUAUACUCUUUUGAUUAAGUUUGACAAAAAAAAACAUAUGGUUAACUAAUCUAAACUUAAAACAUCAACUCUAAACCCUAAACCAUGAAACAUCAACUCUAAACCCUAAACCCCGAAACAUCAACUCUAAACCCUAAACCCUAAACCAUCAAAUCUAAACCCUAAAACAUCAACUCUAAACCCUAAACGUAAACAUUGAACCCUGAACCCUAUAUUUUUCUGAAAUUCCAACCCUAAACCUUCAAAUUUAAACCCUAAAACAUCAACUCUAAACCCUAAAUGUAAACCCUAAACCUUCAAAUAUAAACCCUAAAACAUCAACUCUAAGGUUUUAGGGUUUAGGGUUUAGGGUUUAUGAUUUAGGGUUUAGGGUUUAGGGUUUAGAGAUGAAGGUUUAGGGUUUAGAGUUGAUGUUUUAGGGUUUAGGGUUUAGUGUUGAUAGUUUAGGGUUUAGAGGUGAAGUUUAGGGUUUAGGGUUUAGAGUUGAUGUGUUAGGGUUUAGAGUUGAAAGUUUAGGGUUUAGGGUUUAGAGUUGAUGUUUCGGGGUUUAGGGUUUAGAGUUGAUGUUUCAGGGUUUAGGGUUCGUAUUUAAAAAAAAAGGUUUGAGGAUUGAUGGUUUAGGGUUUAGGGUUUGAAUUUCGAAAUAGUAUAAUUAAUUUAAAUAUUUUUGUAAUAUGUAUUUUUUAUAUAUAUAAAGAAUAUGCGCAGAAGAGUCUUUUGCCACUUAAUGAAGAAUGUAUUUUUGAAAAUAUAUUUUUUGUGGUGGUAAAAAUGAAAAGUGGUAGCAUGAAAGUGGUAAACAAGUAAUUUCCCCUAAUUUAUUUCAUUUAUUAACCAAAAAAACUAUAUAAUAUUUUUGUAAACAAUUAUAUAUUUUUUACUUGAUAUAUUCAUAAAUUUAACUUAAUUUUCUGUAUAAAUAUUUAUAUAGUUACACUAAAUAAUUUUAUAUAAUAUUUAAAUAAAUAUAAAAACAUAUAUGGUUGGUUUUAUUUUUCUUAUUGAUAACAAUUAACAUAAAUUUUCCUAAUUAACAGUUAUGUACAAAAAGAAAAUUCAUCUUAUAAGAUUUUUAUAGAAAUCAGUAUUUAAAUGAAUUCAUGCGUUUUAUUAACUGAUUAUAUUUAAAAUUUUAAAUAGUUAUUUUAUUAUCCUUCAUAUUUUAGACAAUGAAAUUUCGUAUAUAAUUUCUUUUUUUUAUCAUACAUAUAUAUAUUAUAAGACAUUCAUGUAUUUUUAUCCUUUGUUUGUUUAACUGGUUUUUCAUAUUUCAGGUUAUUUAUAUCCACAAAAAUAAUUGCAAAAUAAAAGUACAUUUUCAAUUUGUUUCUUAAGUGAAUUAUAUAUUUUAAAUAUGUUUAAAAUAAGAUAUUUGGAGUUUAGAAAAGGAAACCUUAUAACAAACAUUAGAUAAAUUAUUGCAAAUAUGUUAUGCACAAACAAAAAUACUCUAUAUGAAUUUUUCAGUUUAAUUGUAUGUUGUAAUUGUAUUUAUUUUUACAUAAUGUUUAAAUUUUCAUCGUAUUUAAUAAAAUAAUAAUAUUAAUUGUUUAUAUAUAAGAAUUUGUAAUUUUAUUUUAAAUAUUUAAAUUAUAUAUUUAUUUAUUUUUACAUUCUUUUAAAUAUGAUAAUUUUGUAAAUUAGUUUAACUAGUUCGAUCUACAUUUGUUUUGCAAAUUUAUUUGCUCUGCAAAUUUAAAUGAUUUGUAUUUGUUCUAUUUGAUAUGCAUAAAUAUGUUUGAUCCACAUAUUUUUUUGAUCUGCGUCCCCAUUAAUCGUCGGUGGUGUUUCCUAUUGGUACAGUAACAAAAACGAGUCAUUGGUCCCUUGUUCUGAGUGUUUUUCUGAGAAAGAAUAGUUUAGUAUUAUCGAGACUAGUGGCCUAGAAAACAUUGUAUGGGUCAAAGAUCAAGAAAGUUUUGUUCAGAAAAGAAACAGUAUAAAGACAAAAGGUAGAAAACAUUGUAAGCCUUUUUGGUUAAAGAGAACACUAAUAUGUACCUGCUCAACGUGUGUAACGAGUGUUGUGUCCGAAACACUUGAAAAAGAAUAUCUGUUUUAUCUAUUUAAUAGAGUAAUCAAGUGCACUAUCAUCAUUCACAUAACAACUUCUCCUGAGAGACAAGAGAGAUGCCGAUUAGCCAGAGAGUUCUGAAGCAGGUUGCAGCCUUUCCGGUUGUUUUAGCCAUCGUUUGCUAUUUCUUCUGGCCAUCAAUCAUCGCGCCGGACCUCUUAAAGGGCACGAAGGACGUUCUCCAAGUGGCUAAGACCAUUCCUCUCCCUGGUGAUGGACCAGAGAGCUUAGAAUUUGAUUCACAAGGUGAAGGCCCUUACGUUGGCGUCACUGACGGUCGCAUCCUCAAAUGGCGCGGCGAAGAGCUAGGCUGGGUUGAGUUUGCCUACUCUUCUCCUCACAGGUUCAUUCCUAACAAAAAGUUGCCAACCUUCCUAUGUUUUCGUUGUUCCAUAACUAGUCGUCCAAUAUAUUUUCAUCAAUGUCCAACAAAUCAUUUAGUAAUUAAACGUUUUAUAGGGGAUUAAUUAGGGUAUAGGUGGGCGCCUAUACGCUGUCUAAACCGAUUUUGAAAAAUAGUUCUAGAAAUCUUUUCGCUUAAGACUAAUUUAUUUAUGACCGAUUUGUUAGAACAUUGAUUUUCAAUAACCUUGCUAGUGAAUCUGACCCGCUUUUUUGUUUUGGUGAGUGAAGAGAUAACUGUUCGAGGCAUAAAGUAGUUCCAAGUUGUGGGAGACCAUUGGGACUUAGCUUCCAUAAGAAAACAGGAGAUCUGUACUUUUGUGAUGGUUACUUUGGUGUCAUGAAGGUCGGACCAAAGGGAGGCUUCGCCGAGUUAGUUGUUGAUGAAGCCGAAGGUCGCAAAGUCAUGUUUGCGAACCAAAUGGAUAUAGACCAAGAAGAAGACGUCUUCUACUUCAAUGAUAGCAGCGAUAAAUACCACUUCGAGUAAUUAAAAUUACACAUUCGUUAAUUUAAAUUCACGGUCUUAAUAUUUUUUAUCUGGUUGGUAACAUUAGCAAAACGUGGAAAUGCCAAUAAAAAUAAAAUGAAUAAUAAAUAAACUAUAGAAUAGAUUAACAGAAUGUGACAUAGCUAAUAUAUCUAAAAUAUGAUCGUAUUUUUUUUUUGAUCAAACAAACAUAUAUACAUGUAACCAACUUGUGUAUGUGUUAUGUUUGUUUUGUUGGACAGGCAAGUGUUCUACGUGUAUAUGUCAGGGGAGAAGACAGGAAGAGUAAUUAAAUACGAUAUGAAGAAGAAAGAGGCCACAGUUAUAAUGGACAAACUUCAUUUACCUAAUGGUUUAGCUCUAAGCAAGGACGGAUCCUUUGUACUCACCUGCGAAAGUGGUACAAAUACAAUCCACAGAAUAUGGGUCAAAGGUCCCAAAGCCGGGACCAAUGAGGUUUUCGCAAAGAUCCCGGGUCCUAUGGACAAUAUCCGACGCACGCCUACGGGGCAUUUUUGGGUCGCACUGCAUUCCAAAGACAGUUUGUUUACUCGUGUGUUUCUUAGUCACUCUUUUGUUGGAAAGUUUUUCAUCAAAACGCUGAAGGUGGAGACUGCGAUUCAUCUCGUUAAUGGAGGGAAACCUCAUGGAAUUGUUGUGAAACUCUCUGGAGAGACAGGAGAGAUUCUGGAGAUACUUGAGGACAGUGAAGGGAAGACGAUGAAGUAUGUUAGUGAAGCAUAUGAGAGAGAAGAUGGCAAGUUAUGGAUUGGGUCUGUGUAUUGGCCGGCCGUUUGGGUUCUUGAUAAAUCUGUUUACGGUCUCAAAUGAGCUAGUAAUUUGGUGGUAUGAUCUUCUUUUUAACUUGUUAGAAGACAAGCAUCUUCUUUUGUAUUUUCUUGUUGUUGUGCGAGUGGACUUUGAUUCUGAAGUUUUGAGUUGAGUUGUUUAAUGGAGUUUUGUGGGAUUUUAUAAAUUUUGUCAGGUGGUUAAAAAGAAAAUUUUGUGGGAUUUUAUAAAUUUUGUCAGGUGAUAAACCAUCUACAAAUAUAUAUAUAUAUUUUUAAAAUAGUUUCUCAUAAUUUGGUAACAUUUAAAAAUUAGCACCAAAGAUAUACACGAAAUCAAAAUAUACCCAAAAAUCCGUGAUAAACUAUAAAUAUCAAACAUCACAAAAUAUAUCCAAAAACCAAAACUAGAUCGAAUACAUACAUAAUUUAAUUUAUUACUUAUUUUUGGUGUCACAAUAUAUUUUAAAAUCUCAUUUUUUUUUUUUUUUGUUUUCUUGGAAUUUCUCUUAUAUUUUAGGUUUUGAGUAUAUUUUAUGUAUUUAAUAUAUUUAAAUAUUCUCGUUAUUUGAAUAUAUUUUGAUAAUUUUUUAUUGUUUAUAUAAUCAUAUAUUUAAUUUAACCAUGGUCCAAGCGGCGAUGCGAAAGGCGAUCUAGUGUUCUAGGGUUUCGAUGAUUCAAAGGUAUUGGGAUCCUGGGAUUAGAGAGGAGGAGAGGUUAACGGGUCGAUUUGAAUCGGAGAUUCGAUUUGGAGAUGGGAUUCUCCAAGGUCGGAAGGCUGAAGAUGGAAACUCGAGAUUUUCUUUUGAUUUUGGAUGGGUUGGUUUGAUCGAGGUUACGAUGAAGAUGGAGAUUUGGAUUUGGCGAAAACUAAGGAUUACGAGGAUCGGGAUUUUGAUUUUAAUUUCGAUCAUCAUCAAGACGAAAUUGAAUCAAGAAGAAAACGUAUCUUUUCUCUUUCCUUUAGUUUGAUCAAUCAGAGAUGUGGAGAUACGAAGAUAUCCCGAAAAGUGUUUCAGAAGGAAAGUUAUAAUGUCCUGGUACGAGAAAUGUGGGAUUGUAGAAUGAGUUUGUGGUUAAUGGGAUUAUUACGGGAGAUUGAUUCUGUUAUCAUGAAUCAAAGAGAAAUUAAGGAAAAUUGUGGGAGCCCUAGGAUGAGGAUUUGGGAUCAGUAUAAAAGGAAGAAGGGGUUCUAUACUUGGAUCAUAUACCUUGUAACUUUCUCUCUUGCUAUUGACAAAGAUCAAAGCUUUAUUCUUUUUCUUUUGGCUAUGACACAGAGUCAACUUUUGAGCAAUGUGGGGGAGGUGAAGAACGGAGAAGGAACUCGCAGAAGAUUUCAGUGCCCCAUUUCGAUAAUUCAGCUCUCAUCAAGACUUUUUCCAAAACUCUUAUUGGAAGAUGUAUGAAUCCGGAGGAGCAGGAGAUGAAGGCUCUGAUCUCGAAUCUCCCGAAGAUAUGGAAAUUUGAGGAGAGGGUUGUUGGCUCGGAUUUGGGUUUUGAGAAGUUCCAGUUUGACUUCGAAAAGGAGGAGGACAUGGAGGGGGUUCUUAAGCUUCAACCUAUUCAUUUUGAUUACUGGAUGUUGUCCUUGGCGCGGUGGCAACCUAACAAGUCCUUGCUCUACCCGUCGGAGAUAACAUUUUGGGUUAGAGUCAUAGGAGUCCCGUGGGAGUUCAAAACGGAACCCACUUUUGAGAGCAUUGGUGACGCCAUAGGAAGGACAGUGGCUGUAGAUUUGGAUCACUCUCGCGUGCAAGUGGUGGUUGAUGCUUUUAAUGAGCUGUGUUUUGAAACCACGGUAGACUUCACUGGUGGGGAGUUUUAUGAUGGAGAGGAAGCUCCGGUAUCGCUGCUGUAUGAGAAGCUGUUUGGAUAUUGUCAAGUGUGUGGUAGUCUGUGCCAUAAAGAUGAAGUCUGUCCCUUAGAUGUGAAGAACAUCAAGAAGAGCCCAGAAAAGAAACGAGAAGGAAGAGAAGGUAAUGGUGCUUGGUACGAUGGAGGGAAGUAUGAUGAUCGCGCAAGGAGUUAUAAAGGUGUAGUCAUUAAUGGAAACGCGAAUCAACAGAAUAAAGAAAGAGAAGGCCGGGAGUAUUAUGGCAAAAGUAAGGGCAAGAUGGGGGAGGAAACAUAUUCUAAAUGGAUGAAGGUGUCAGAGAGAGGAAGUAAGAGAGCCUACACUAACCGUGGAACUUAUAGAGGAGAUGGGGAAGCUUCUCGGCACAGACCUGCGAGGAGAGAGGACUCAAGGCCUGGCGCUAAGAGUGGACAAAUUCGACCCUCUUCAGGACAGACUAGGGAGCAACAGCCUCAACAAGAUGCUCGUGAGGAAGUUCGAGAGGAGGUUGAGAUCAGGUCCGCUGAGGAGUCUCGCGCAAUGCCACCUUCUCAAGCGUUUCAAGUGGAACUGGCCAAAUCUCAGGCUGAGGGAACGACAGUCAUCUCGGAUCCUAUUGAUGUGGACCAAGGGUUGGCAGCGGUACAUGGUAUGCAGGAGGAUCAUGUGGACUUAGAAGAUGAGGAUGUAAUGGACAUGGAUGAGAUUAAGGCUCAUCUACUUGAGAAUGAUAUAGAUAUGGAUGCAAAGGAUUUUUUAGAGAAGCUAGAAGAGGAGGAAACUAAGGAAGUGGGCAAGAAACAGAAAGAGGAGAACAAUGCUCAAGAGACAGACGAGGUGGUGUUUGUGGAAGAAGAGCAAGGCACGCUUGGUGGAGAUGCGGUGAAGAAACCAGGAUUACGUAAGAGUCUAUUCAAGCCGUCGACCGGUACUGCGGGAAGUACUAAAAUGAGAGCGUUCAAUGCGCUUGCGUCACCACGUAAGCGAGCUGCAGAGAGGCCAGGAACACGACACGGAGAUACCACCAAUCAAGCAGAGAGUAAGGGUGCUUCAAACCCGAAACUUGGAAAUCAGAGGAUCUGAUUUAUGGUUAGAGUCUUUUCUCAAGGUUUUUCAAGCAGGCAGGGCCUGUCUUAUGAUUUAGGUUGUUUUCUGGUUUUAAUAAGCUCUAUGAGCACUUGCAUUUUUUCUGUUUCUAAGAGUUGUAAGCGUCUGGUCUUACUGCGGUUUUAUGGUGGCUGUUAAGGGAUUUCUUUGAGGAAAAGCAAUGGAAUAAUAAAACAGUCUUGUGUUAUUGGUUUUGUCGUCUAACUAUGGUAAUGAAUUCUUGUAAUCGUUUUGGUUAUAUAGAUGGAUAUAGGAUUAGAAUGUGGGAUGAUGGUCUCGUUGGUUUGGAAAGGAAUCAGAGACAUAAUAGUCUUGUGGCGGGAAGGCGUCUGGUGAGUUUGUCAGAUUGUAGGAGGCGUCUGGUGAGUUUGUUAGGUUUCCAGUGGUGGCACAUGAAGUUAGGAGUUUUGGGUUUUAUCAUUUUUGCAUUGGGGACCACAGACUGUUUUAUAGUUUUGGUAUGUUACUUAUUUGGCAGAGUGAGAUCUCUUUUGUUAAUAGAUGUUCAAUGUUUGGAGAGGUUCUGGUUUAUUGGAUAUGGUGUUGCAGGUUUCUCUUUUAAGAAUAGCUUGAGGGGUUUGGAUUAUCUUAUUGUCUCUGAUACGGUGCGCGAACGUGUUGUGUCCUUGGUAUCAUCAAACCAGGAUCAGUUACUGAUUGGAUGGAGGGGAUUAUAUUAUGAUGCAUAUGCAAUGCGAGCUGAGGUUUUUUUCUCAAACCAAGAAGACAGUGGGUGUUGGUUUUUUAGUGAAACAAACUGGUUUCAAGUGGGAGUGGGUGGUUUUGCGUAUAAAAUGUGUGGCUUUGGUGGGUUACAAGACUGUAGUUUUUUUCUCGUUUAUGGAAUCGAUUUUGUAUUAUUAUGGAGGCUAAGUGAUAGAAAUUGGACAGUAUUAGUGGUAUCAUUUUCGAUUAUUAUGGGAUGGUUCAGAUCACAAAGAAAGGAAAAUAGUUGGAUUGUGGAAAUAGGGUAUCAUUACACCCAUAGACACUCGGCUCUCAGAGCAAAUAAAGAAUAAAUUUUUUAAAUGCGGGUUUUGAGUUGGAAUUGCCGAGGGAUGUGAAGUAAGUGAACUCUAAGCUAUUUGAGCGAGAUAAGGUAUAAACAUAAACCGGAUUUAUUGUUUUUAUCAGAGACAAAACAAGAUUCAGAGUUUGUCCAAAAAUGGCAAGCUCACUUUGGAUUCGAUAACCUAGUCACUAUAGACCCAGUGGGGAGAAGUGGCGGAUUAGCGCUUUUCUAUAAUAAUAAGUAUCAGGUAAAGGUAUUAUAUUCUAGUAACCGAAUGAUUGAUGUGGAAGCGGAAGUCCUGGGCAAAACGGUCUAUCUUACAUUUGUAUAUGGGGACCCAGUUCAAAAAAUGCGGGAACAAGUAUGGGAACAGUUAACUUGAUAUGGACUGGCGAGAUCCGACCCCUGGUUUAUUAUUAGGGAUCUCAACGAGAUUACUGGAAAUCAUGAAAAAGAUGGUGGGGCUAUAAGGAGUGCAGAUUCUUUUAUUCCUUUCAAUAAUAUGAUAAGAAAUAGUGGUCUGGUAGAAUUUCCGGCUAGGAGAAAUAAAAUGUCAUGGCAAAGGAGAAGAGGAAAAGGGAAAGGGGCAGUGAUGGUUCGAUGCCGUUUGGACCGUGCGCUAACAAAUGAAGAAUGACAUACCCUAUUUACAUGUUCCUUUACAGAGUAUUUUGGGAUGGUGGCUUCUGAUCAUCGUCCAGUGGUAGCUUAUAUGGAAGAAAAAGGUCCCAGACGGAAAUGACAAUUUCGGUUUGAUAAGAGGUGGAUUGGGCUAGAGGGUCUCCUAGAAUCAAUUACAAUGGGUUUGAUAGAUUCUAAUGAAGAAAUAGUAGGGGGGGGGGGGGGGGGCAGAGAGCAUAGUGGCAAAAAUUAGUAACUGUCGUCAUGAAAUUGCAAAAUGGCGGAAAAAUAAUUCACCUUAUGGAAAAAAAAAAUAAAUGAGUUACAACAAGCACUUGAAGAGGUGCAAACAAAUAAUACUAGGUCUCAAGAGGAUAUUCUGGAGGUGUCUAGGAAAUUACAAGACGCAUAUAAGGAUGAAGAAGAUUACUGGCAUCAAAAAAGUAGGAACAUGUGGUAUUCAUCUGGGGAUCUGAAUACAAAAUUUUAUCAUGCUUUAACUAAGCAACGGAGAGUUCGCAAUAGAAUUGUUGGAUUACAUGAUGCUAAUGGGAAUUGGAUUACAGAGGAUAAUGGUGUGGAAAAGGUGACAGUGGACUAUUUCGAAGAUUUAUUUACUACCACCUCCCCAUCGGAAUUUGAUAGUUUCCUGAUAGAGAUUACACCGGGCAUCACUCCUCAGAUGAAUCAACGCUUGUUGAAGCUAGCGACGGAGGAGGAGGUUAAAGAGGCUUUGUUUAUGAUGCACCCAGAAAAGGCGAUUAACAAUAUUUAUAUGAUACUAAAAACGGAGAGACCUACAAGGAUGACGGAACUGAGGCCAAUCAGUCUCUGUAAUGUAGGAUAUAAAAUCAUUUCUAAGGUCUUGUAUCAGCGUUUGAAAAUAUGUCUUCCCUUACUCAUUUCCGAGACUCAAUCUGCAUUUAUGGCAGGAAUAUUGAUUUCUGAUAAUAUUCUUAUCGCCCAGGAAAUGUUUCGCGGAUUGCGGAUAUCGGGUUCUUAUAAAUGGUCAACCACGUGGCCUCAUUGUACCACAUAGGGGUUUACGUCAAGGAGAUCAUUUAUCGCCUUAUUUAUUUAUUCUCUGCACUGAGACUUUAAUUGCAAAUAUAAAAAAGACAGAGAGAGGACAACAAAUUAUGAUUCUUUUAUUCCUUUCAAUAAUAUGAUAAGAAAUAGUGGUCUGGUAGAAUUUCCGGCUAGGAGAAAUAAAAUGUCAUGGCAAAGGAGAAGAGGAAAAGGGAAAGGGGCAGUGAUGGUUCGAUGCCGUUUGGACCGUGCGCUAACAAAUGAAGAAUGACAUACCCUAUUUACAUGUUCCUUUACAGAGUAUUUUGGGAUGGUGGCUUCUGAUCAUCGUCCAGUGGUAGCUUAUAUGGAAGAAAAAGGUCCCAGACGGAAAUGACAAUUUCGGUUUGAUAAGAGGUGGAUUGGGCUAGAGGGUCUCCUAGAAGCUCAAAAAGAAGAGUGUCAAACAAUCCUUAGGAUUUUAAAGGAAUAUGAGGCAAUUUCAGGGCAGCUAAUAAAUUUUGAUAAGUCUUUCAUUCAAUUUGGAUAUAAGAUUGAAGAAUCCGUCAGACAGGAUUUAAAGGAUAUUUUGGGUAUUCAGAAUCUUGGAGGAAUGGGAUCAUACUUUGGUCUACCAGAAAAUCUGGGGGGAUCAAAGAUCCAGGUUUUUAGCUUUGUACAAGAUCGUUUAAAUAAUAGAGUCAAUGGGUGGACUUUCAAGUUUUUAACAAAAGGGGGAAAGGAAGUGAUUAUUAAGUCAGUGGUUACGGCAUUACCAAAUCAUAUGAUGUCCUGUUAUCGCUUGCCUAAAGCAACGGUGAAAAAACUGACAAGUGCGGUAUCACAAUUUUGGUGGAGUCCAGGGGGAAGUACAAGAGGCAUGCACUGGAAAUCAUGGGAUAAGUUAUGUGUAGACAAGGAGUAAGGAGGUUUAGGGUUUAAAGAUAUCACUGAUUUCAACACAGCGAUGCUUGGUAAACAGUUAUGGCGUCUGAUAGAGAAGCCAAACACUUUAUUUUCUCGAGUUUUCAAAGGUCGGUAUUAUAGGAAUGCUUCACCCUUGGAACUGAUUCGUUCAUAUUCUCCGUCAUACGGCUGGCAGAGUAUUGUUUCUGUUAGAUCUCUGGUUAGCAAAGGACUAAUCAAAAGGGUGGGAUCAGGGUCUUCUAUAUCUGUAUGGAAUGACCUCUGGCUCCCAACCAAUCGCCCGAGACCAGCUAAUAAAAAUCAACACAAUUUAUACCUCAACCUUACAGUAGAGUCCCUCAUUGACUCUACCUCGCGAACUUGGAAUUCAGAGGUAAUUCGGACUUUGGUGGAUCCUCAGGAUGCGAAACUAAUAUAAAGUAUUCCACUAAGCGGGAUUCAUCAGGUGGAUAGAGAUGGAUGACAAUUUACGAAAAAUGGUAAAUAUACAGUCAAAUCAGGAUAUCAAGUAGAACGGAUUUAUCCAGAUAGAGAAAGACCACCACUACUGAUUGGGCCAACAGUUGAUGUCUUGAAGGCUUACUGCUGGAAAAUACGGUGCCCACCAACGCUAAAACAUUUCCUAUGGCAAUUAGUGACAUGGUGUAUAGCGGUACGGAAGAAUUUACAAGCAAGGGGGAUUCAAGGGAAUAUUUGUUGUGUAAGAUGUGGAGCUCCUGAGGAAUCAAUAAACCAUGUGUUUUUUGAAUGUCCUCCAGCUCUUCAGGUUUGAGCUCUUUCGAAGAUACCAUCAAAUCAAGCUAUUUUUCCAACGAGUUCCCUCUUCACAAACAUAGAUCAUCUUUUCUGGAGAGUUUUCCCGCAGAUGGAGGAUCACCAGUUUGCAUGGAUACUAUGGUACAUCUGGAAAGGUAGGAAUAAUAAAGUUUUUAGUAAUUUGGAUAUGGACCCUAUGGAUACGCUAAAAUUGGCUGAAACAGAAUCCACAUUGUGGGCUGAGGCACAAGUAGGGAAUUACCAGAGGACACCACCACCAAUAAUAGAUACGGUACUGUCGUCGAUCCCAAGAAGAUAGUGUUUCACAGAUGGCUCGUGGAAAGAGGGCGUUUAUUUUUCAGGACAAGGUUGGCUCAGUACUUUGGAAGGUAUUGAUGGAUUGUUGGGGGCGAAAAAUGUUAGGGCUAGUCUCUCGCCUCUUCAUGUAGAGAUGGAAGCGCUAUUAUGGGCAAUGGAAUGCAUGAAGAAUUUAUGUCAAUUUCAAGUUACGUUUGCAACGGAUUGUUCUCAAUUGGUGAAGAUGGUUUCAGAACCAGAGGAAUGACCAGCUUUUGCAAAUUAUUUGGAAGAUAUCAAGAUCCUGAAAGAGAGUUUCACCCGAUCAGAGAUUAUCUAUGUACCACGGACGCAUAAUUAAAAGACGGAUAGUCUAGCACGCAGUGGUAGAAAGCAAUCGUCUUUCAUCGUUCACAUAGAUGCAGAUCACGCAGUUUGGUUUACAGAAUCAGUAUGAAUCUAUAUUGUUGAUGACAAAAAAAAGAAUAUAUUUUGGUUUUAAUAAUUUAUAUAUUUCUCGGGGUUUUAAGUAUAUUUUUGAGGUUUUGGGUAUUUAAAGUUUUUCUUUUUCUUUUGGUUAUUAUUUUAGGUUUUUGGGUAUUUAUAUAUUUUUGGUUGUAUUUUGUUUCUUUUUUUUAUAUUUAUAGAUAUUUGACCGACAUCAUUUUGGUCAGGGUUGAUUUUUGUUUGAAUUUGAUAGUUCAUGUAGUUUAUUUGAAACAAAUAUUAACCUGGGAUGAAAUAAGCACGGUAACAAAAUUCAGGUAGAAAGUGGCGCGACGGAAAUUGUUGAGGUUAGAAUUGAUUCUUCUCCCCGUUUCCACCAGGCCCGAGUUGGUAUAUUUGAUUUGACUUUACUUGAUUUAAUUAAUAUAUUGGUUAAACAAAAUUCUAAUUAUUAAUCUGUUUAACGUUUUUUCAUAUAAUGAUUUACGAUGAUUUAUGAUGUACGUCUAGUUAGGGUUCUAGGUUAAUUUUUCCUUUUUGCUUGCAUCCUAUAAUUAAGCACUACACUACUUGAACUGGUUGCUGAUCUGAAGUUUAGUUUGAUUAACCUUCUAAAUGUGAGUUAGUACUAGAGUUUAAAAUUUAACUUAAGCUCCUGCCACUUUUUAAAUUUAGUGCACCACCAAAAGUUAGUAAAAAAAAAAGUUCUGCUAAAUGCUAAAGCCUAUCGCAUAUUAUUUUUUUCAAAAUAUAUAAUCAGUGAAAGAAAACAAUACAUUCAAAAGAAUUAGUUAUUAAUUUUAGUGCUUGGUGCUAGGCCUGAAACUUUUAUCCGAGAUCCGGAUUCGAUCCGAGGUCCGAUCUGAAUUCAAUCCGAAAAUCCGGAUAUCCGGAGGGGCCGAAUCCGGAUCCGGAUAGUAAAAUAUUGGAUCCAUCAAAGCCGGAUUCGGAUCCGGACAUCUUGAUUUUUAGUCUGGAUAUCUGUAUCUGGAUAUUACAAUUUUUAGAAGGAUAUCCGACGCCCGGAUAUCCGAAAACCUCGGAUCCGGAUAAGGAUAAUAAAAUUAUGGAACCGCCGGAUAAGGAUCCGUAUACCUUAAAAUUGUCAGGAUACCCGAUCCGUCACAGGCCUACUUGGUGCAACAUAAUCAGUGGUUGGUCUGAUGGUCGAACUAUCUCUGGUGAUUUUUUCGGCAACUUUUCCGUUGGUUUGUUGUGUCUCUAACUUUUUUUUAUGCAUGUGCAUACUUGAACUGAUUUUGUCUGUUUUCCUUAUGUGCUCUUCUGAUUACAUCUCAAAAGUGGUCGUAAAGAUCAAUGUUAAAGGGGUCAAUUAAAUGUUCAGCAUAUGAAUGGUGAUUGGUAUCUAGUGUUUGUAGGCUUCUUGUUUCCGCAUCCAACUACAUACCAAUUAUCCUUCUUCACAAGAAAAGUUAUACUUGUUGACUUGAUCCGAGGCCUAUAUUGCAUACCUAUUUCGAAGGAAUUGUUAAUCUUUUUAUUUAAAAUGUUGUUUUCAGUAUUUUCUCGGUAGGGAAGUCGUGAACACAAAAGCCAACAUUUGUGAUCUUUACUUCUUUGCUUAAAAUAUGCAUCGCCUGAAAAAAGGAAUACUGUUAGCUGAGAUAUCAUUUGCGAAAAGAUUAUGGUGGUGACUUGAAGUAAUUAUGCCCGUUAAACAUAUUUGUCUCCGGAUAAAAGAUGACGGUCAAAUCUUUGUAUAUUGAAAAAUAUUUUUAUUUUUGGACUGAUGUAGCUAUUAUCUUUUUCUAAAAGAUGUACGUUUAAUUGAUUUUAUAAAUACUAAAAAUAGAUUAAAUUUUAAUACUAAAUAUCUUAUUUUACGUAAUUAUUAUUUUUAACUAAUAGUGCUAAUAAGUAUAAUUAAUAUUUUUAAGUUUGUAACUUAUCAUAAUUAACUAAUAAAAAUAUAUAAAAGCAUAAAACAUAAUUUUAAAGAGCAAUUUAAAAAAAAUAUUUCUAGUACAGAGGGAUUAAUAUAUAUAUAUCAAAAACCAAACAAAUUGUAAUUAACAAUGAAAAUGGCCAUUCGUCUAGUUGUAAACCUGUAGUGAGUGGAGAAAGAUUUUUUUCUUACUUUAAUGUGAUUCGUGUCUGUAAAAGAUGUCCAAGGAUUCGGUGAUGUGAUCAUGUGGAACGAGGGGGCACCAGCCCUUUCCCAGCUUUAAUUAUUUUGCAUGAUUAGUUCUCAAAAUAAUAUAGUAGCUAUAAGAUUACAGUAGUCUGACUAAUCAUACGUGUAGGUUGUCAGAGAAAAAGAGUCUAAUCAUACGUGUAGGUUGUCAAAAAGAUAUUUUACGUUGUCUUCUCUUGGGUUUGCAUCAUUUUGCAUUUGAAAUUUUAUAUGAGAGAGGAUUUGUGUAAGCACAUUAUUAUUAUUUUGUCAGCAUAUUAUAUUAUAAGUAUUUUUUCUAUUUUGAAUAACUAUAUUCUAAAUUUUCCUUAAGUUUAUAUAAAGCUCGAUUGUCAAGUGUUGUAAAACUGUAUACAGAAUUUCUGUUUUUUUCUUUUUAUAAAAUGACAAAUCUAUUCUAUUAAAAAUGAGUCAUUAUAUAACCAUGUAAUUAGUUACUAAGAGACAAGAGAGGAUGGUGAUUAGCCAGAGAGUUUUGAAACAGGUUGCAGCAGUUCCGGUUGUCUUAUCCAUCAUUUGUUAUUUUUUCUGGCCAUCAAUCAUUGUGUUGGACCACCUAAAGGGCACGAAAGACGUUCUCCAAGUGACUAAGACAAUUCCUCUCCGUGGCGGUGGACCAGAGAGUUUAGAGUUUAGUUAUAGUUUGAUUUACAAGGUGAAUUGAAGACCCUUAUCUAGGAGUCACAGACGGUCACAUCCUUAAAUGGCGAGGCGAAGAGCUAGGCUGGGUUGAGUUCGCGUACACUUCUCCUCACAUGUUCAAUCCUAACAAAAAAAAAGUGCCAACCUUCCUAUGUUAUCAUUAUUCCAUGUUUACUGGUCCAAUGAUUUUUUCAUUAAUGUUCAACAAAUCACUAUGUGUUAAUUAAGCGUUUAUAGUGGAUUAAUGUCUAAAUAAACACCUAAACCUUAUCUAAACCGAUUUUAAAAAAUCGUUUAAGAAUCAUUUUGUUUAUGAACGAUCUUUUUAAAAUUGAUUUAUUAGAACAUUGAUUUUCAUUAACCUUCCUACUGAAUCUGACCCAUUUUCUUUUUGGUCAGUAAAUAGAUAAUUGUUCUAGGCAUAAAGUAGUUCCAAGUUGGGGGAGACCAUUGGGACUUAGCUUCCAUAAGAAAACCUGAGAUUUCUACUUUUGUGAUGGUUACUUUUGUAAGUAAAAAAAACACGUUUUACGUGUUGGUCAGCAUGGACGGUGACGGCAUGGACGGUGAGCUGAAAUUGUUGACGUUGGUUUUGUCAAAGAUUGUGAGCUCACCAAACACCUUCUUCAUGUUUAUAAAAGGAGAGCUAAGGAGAAGAAGAAAUGUAUCCCAAAAACAAGAAAACAGAGAGAGAACGAGAGAAGAGACGAGAAGAGAAGAAGAAAAAAAAAAGUUUUUUUUCUCACAAAAAAAUCUUCUUUAAGAAAUUACGAGUAAUUUCUGAGUGUAUUUGGGAUCGGGGUGUGAGUUGUGAGCUUGUAAAAUUUCUCUGGUUGAUAAUAAAAGAUCUGUAGCAGGUCCGGAGACGUAGGCAACAUUGGCCGAACUCCGUUAACAAUUUUGUGUGUGUGCUUCUUUCCCGCUCCUAUAAAUUCUGGUUUACCGCAAAAUUUGACCGCAUAUUUCCUAACAACUGGUAUCAGAGCUUGAGUUACGGUGAUCGGUCAAAUUUUUUGCGGAGUUACUAUUCACGGUAACAUCGGUUUGUCGACGAAGGUGUUCUAAUACACGGUGGUUCCAGAAACGAUGGGAGGCGAAGACGGUUUGGCGCACAGUAUCGGGAAAUUUGACGGUACAGAUUAUGCAUUUUGGAGAAUGCAAAUUGAAGAUUAUCUGUACGGAAAGAAGCUUCAUCAACCGCUGAGCAAGAAGCCUGAGAAGAUGGAUCAGGAUGAGUGGGAGCUCCUUGACAGACAAGUUCUGGGUGUUAUAAGGUUAACACUGUCGAAAAACGUUGCUCACAACGUUGCGAAGGAGAAGACCACGGAAGGGCUCAUGAAAGUUCUCUCUGAUAUGUAUGAGAAACCUUCGGCAAACAAUAAGGUAUUUCUCAUGAAGAAACUCUUUCAUUUGAAGAUGGAAGAAGGUGGCCUGGUUGCCGCACAUGUGAACGAGUUCAACACGAUUGUCAACCAACUGUCAUCGGUUGAAAUCGAGUUUGAAGAUGAAGUGCGAGCACUGAUUUUGUUGGCAUCUCUGCCAAAUAGUUGGGAGCCAAUGAGGGCAGCGGUUAGUAAUUCUGUGGGUACUCAAAAGCUCAAAUUCAAUGAUGUUAGAGAUCGUAUCCUUGGUGAGGAAGUUCGAAGGAUAGACUCUGGGGAGGCAUCAACGAGCUCUGCUUUCAACGUGGAAAACAGAGGGAGAAACCCAGAUAGAAAUAACCGGAGUAAUGGCAGAUCGAAGUCAAGGAAUGGACGGGGUCAGUCCAAAUUCAGACAGCCUGCAGAGUGCUGGAAUUGUGGAAAGACAGGUCACAUUAAGAAGAAUUGCCGAGCACCACCGAAGAAGGAAGACAACACUAGAGGCGGAGCCAAUGUAGUGACACGUGAAAUCGCUGAUGCAUUGGUAGUGUCUGUUGAUUCCCCGAGGAAAAUUGAAGCUCGUGAUGCAACUGCAAAUACCACCAAAGCGUCAAUCUCCUAUGUCGAUAGCCCAGUUGAUUCAUGGGUGCUUGACUCAGGAGCGUCGUUCCACACCACACCGCACCAUAACAUCAUGGAAAAUUAUGUUGCGGGAAAUUACGGAAAGGUAUAUCUUGCUGAUGGAUUACCUUUGGACAUAGUUGGUAUUGGAGAUAUCAACCUGAAAAUGUCAGACGGACGUGUGUGGAAGAUUACCAAGGUCAGACAUGUGCCAAAGUUGAUGCGAAAUCUGAUUUCAGUAGGUCAACUUGAUGAUAUGGGGCACGAUGUUAAUUUUGGUGGUGGAGCCUGGAGAGUCAAGAAAGGUUCCAUGGUGGUGGCUAGAGGUCAUAAAAGAGGCACUCUUUAUAUGACGACGAGUUAUCAAGACACUGUUGCUGUUGUCGAGAAUGCCAAACAUACCAAGUUGUGGCAUUGUAGGUUGGGGCACAUGAGUGAGAAAGGGAUGAAACUCAUGGUGGAAAAUGGUGCUCUUCCGGAUCUGAAGACGGUGGAUCAUCAGAUGUGUGAAAGUUGCAUCCUUGGGAAACAGAAACGAGUUAGUUUCUCUAAAGGAGGAAGAGAGCCAAAAUCUGAGAAGUUAGAGCUGGUGCACACUGACGUGUGGGGACCCGCUCCUGUUGCAUCGCUGGGAGGUUCGUACUACUAUGUGACCUUUAUUGAUGACUCCACAAGAAAAGUGUGGGUUUACUUCAUGAAGAACAAGCAUGAAGUGUUUUCGGUUUUCAAAAUAUGGAAAGCCAUGGUUGAGAUUGAGACGAAUCUCAAGUUGAAGUGUUUAAGGUCUGAUAAUGGUGGAGAGUACAUCAGCGGCGAGUUCAAGAGAUAUUGCGCUGAUAAUGGGAUCAAGAUGGAAAAGACUAUUCCUGGAACGCCUCAACAGAAUGGAAUAGCGGAAAGGAUGAACCGAACCUUGAAUGAGCGUGCAAGGAGCAUGAGAUUGCACUGUGGAUUGCCAAAGACGUUUUGGGCAGAUGCAAUCAAUACCGCAGCCUUCUUAAUAAACAGAGGACCGUCUGUACCGUUGGGAUUUAAGAUCCCUGAAGAAGUUUGGAGCGGAAAGAAAGUAAAUCUUUCUUAUCUAAAGGUGUUCGGAUGCUUAGCUUAUGUUCAUAUUGAUGAUGCUGCAAGAAGUAAACUUGACUCGAAGUCUAAGAAGUGUUACUUCAUCGGUUAUGGUAACGCGGAGUUUGGUUACCGGUUUUGGGAUGAUGAAAAUCGGAAGAUCAUCCGCAGCAAGAAUGUUGUGUUCAACGAAGAAGCGUUGUACAAGGAUAAGCUAAGAGAAGGCUCGGAGAAGAAAGAGCCUGGAGCUGUUGACUUAGAAGAUAUCCUGACACCGGAGUUGCCACAGGAUACCGCAACAGCAGAAGAAGAAAUCUCUCAAGACGAGAGUGGUGAGGCUGAAGAAAGUGAUGAUUCUGAAGUGGUCCCAUAUACACCAGUCACGGAGUUACGACGGUCAAGCAGAAUCAUCAGAAAGCCAGUAAGAUUCUCUCCAUCGCUCAACUACAUUCUGCUCACAGACAGAGGCGAGCCUGAAUGUUAUGAGGAAGCUAUGCAAGUUGAUGAGUCGAUCAAGUGGGAGCUUGCAAUGAACGACGAGAUGGACUCGUUGUUAUCCAAUCACACGUGGGAGUUAGCAGAUUUGCCUAAGGAGAAAAAGGCAUUGCAUAACAAGUGGGUCUACCGAAUAAAAGAAGAACCUGAUGGGAGUAAGCGCUAUAAAGCGAGGCUUGUUGUGAAGGGAUUCCAACAAAAAGAAGGCGUUGACUACACUGAAAUCUUCUCUCCUGUAGUCAAGAUGGUGACCAUCAGAACGGUUCUUGGGCUGGUAGCACAAGAAGAUCUGCAUCUUCAACAGAUGGAUGUGAAGACGGCAUUUCUUCACGGUGAUUUGGAUGAGGAAAUUUAUAUGAAGCAACCCGAAGGCUUUGAGAUCAAAGGGAAGGAAAGCCUUGUUUGCAAGCUGAAAAGGAGUUUGUACGGCUUAAAACAAGCUCCAAGACAGUGGUAUAAACGGUUCGACAACUUUAUUAAAGGCGUUGGUUUCUUGAGGUGUGAAGCUGACCACUGUUGUUACUUCAAGACGCUUGAAGAGUCCUACUUGAUAUUGCUCCUAUAUGUCGAUGACAUGCUGAUAGUAGGAGCAGACUUGCACGAGAUCAAUAGCUUGAAGACGAAACUCUCAGAAGAGUUUGCGAUGAAAGACCUUGGAGAAGCAAGACAGAUUCUAGGGAUGAGAAUCAGUAGGAGCAAGGAAGGUCUUAAGCUAUCACAAGAGGAGUAUGUGAAGAAAGUCCUCAAGAGGUUUAACAUGGAUGACGCGAAGCCAGUUAGUACUCCCCUGGCAAGUCACUUUCGGUUAUCCAGAGAACAGUCUCCAAAGACGGAAGACGAGAUGGCAUGUAUGGAUAAAGUUCCAUAUGCUUCUGCUAUAGGAAGCCUGAUGUACGCGAUGAUAUGUACAAGGCCAGACAUUGCACAUGCAGUGGGAGUCGUUAGCAGAUUUAUGAGCAAUCCAGGGAAGGAACAUUGGGAAGCCGUUAAGUGGAUUUUCAGAUAUCUAAAAGGAAAUCCAAGUUUAUCGCUAUGUUUCACGAAGUCUAAGACGGGAUUGCAGGGAUAUGUUGAUGCUGACAAUGGAGGUGACAUUGACAGCACGAAGAGCACAACCGGGUAUGUCUACACCUUUGGCGGUACUGCAAUUUGUUGGGUUUCAAAGUUGCAGAAAAUUGUAUCUCUAUCAAGCUGUGAAGCUGAGUAUGUUGCUGUAACGGAGGCAACAAAAGAGAUGAUAUGGCUACAGUCUUUUCUAGAAGAGCUAGGCCAUGACCAAGGGAAAGGUGUGUUGUACUGUGACAGUAAAAGUGCCAUCGAUUUGGCAAAGAAUCCGGUUUACCAUGCUCGGACGAAGCACAUACAUCGUCGGUAUCAUUUCAUCAGAUCAGCGUUGGAAGAUGAAAUGUUGGUGCUUGAGAAGAUCCCAGGAAGCAAGAAUCCGGCAGACAUGUUGACGAAGGUCGUGCCGUAUGAUAAGCUGAGGUUGUGUGCAACCUCAGUUGGCUUGUUGGAGUAACAAGCUGGGGAGACCUGCUACAUCGAUCAAUGUGUGAAGACAGAUUGAAAUCAGUCUUCAAGUGGGAGAUUGUAAGAAAAAAAAACACGUUUUACGUGUUGGUCGGCAUGGACGGUGACGGCAUGGACGGUGAGCUGAAAUUGUUGACGUUGGUCUUGUCAAAGAUUGUGAGCUCACCAAACACCUUCUUCAUGCUUAUAAAAGGAGAGCUAAGGAGAAGAAGAAAUGUAUCCCAAAAACAAGAAAACAGAGAGAGAACGAGAGAAGAGAAGAGAAGAGAAGAAGAAAAAAAAAAGUUUUUUUUUCUCACAAAAAAAUAUUCUUUAAGAAAUUACGAGUAAUUUCUGAGUGUAUUUGGGAUCGGGGUGUGAGUUGUGAGCCUGUAAAAUUUCCCUGGUUGAUAAUAAAAGAUCUGUAGCAGGUCCGGAGACGUAGGCAAUAUUGGCCGAACUCCGUUAACAAUUUUGUUUGUGUGCUUCUUUCCCGCUCCCAUAAAUUCUGGUUUACCGCAAAAUUUGACAGCAUAUUUCCUAACAACUUUGGGGUCAUGACUCAUGAAGGUUGGACCAGUAGGAGGCUUGGCCGAGUUAGUUGUUGAUGAAGCCGAUGGUCCCAAGGUCAUGUUUGCGUACCAAAUGGAUAUAGAUCAAGAAGACGUCUUCUAUUUUAGUGAUAGCAGCGAUAAAAAUCACUUCGAGUAAUUAAAACUACACCUUCGUUUAUUUACAUUUACAGUCCUAGUAUUUUCUCUGGUUGGUAACAUUAGCAGAACGUGAAAAACGGAUAAAUAAAUAAAAUCAAUAAUAAUAAUUUGUAAAAUAUAUUAGUAGCAUUGGGGAACCAUAAUGUGAUGUAGCUAAUAGAUCUAAACGUGAUUUUGAACAUAUAGACUUACUGGUUGAAUCCAGAAUAUUUAUUUACUGGGUGAAGUGUCGAUUAUAAAAUGGAAACAGUCGAAAGGUGCAUUCGAACUUGGGUUGUUAUGGUGCACUUGCACAAUACAACUUUUUCACCUGUUCUAACAGAAUUUAUUUGUUAUUUGACACGAAAAUUACAAUAUAAAUAAUUUGUUUUGGUGCACAUGCUCCAUUGAUCAUUUGUAAAACCUUUAAGUCAUUAUGUAACUAUCAUGUGUAUGUGUUUUUUAGUGCAAAUGUUAAGAAUGUUACGUUUGUUUUGUUGGACAGGCACGUAAUCUACGUUUACAUGUCCGGGGAGAAGACGGGAAGGGUGAUGAGAUAGUAAUCGCGUUAACGUUGGUCAACGAACCAGACCUGGUUUGCAGUGUUUCAUUGUUCUUUUAAUUAUUUAUUUUAAUGAGUAUAGUUGUUAAUAAUGGAAACUGAUUCUUCCUAAUGUUUAGGAACUUAAUCAUCCCACGUUUCCCAUUUCAUCGUUGUAUAGGGAUCAUGAUCCCACAAUUGCUUCUUGUAACUUUUAUCUAUUUAAAUCAAUGCAAACAACAAAAAGAGGUAGUCAUAACUACACAAAAGAAAAGCGUGUUCUAGUCUGUUCUUAAUUUGUUCUUGAACAAAUUCUCUUUGAUUUGAAGAGAGACCUUAAUUGGUAUCAAAUCACAUGUUUCUAGAUCAACAUUGAUAUCUCUUGGCAAGGGACCUAUCAGUGGUAUCAGAGCAUGUUUUGUUUUUGAUCCGGACCACUUUGUGGUAUCAAAAACUUUAUAUUUUUCAUCUUCCUUGUUAUCGGUAUUCUUCAUGAAUCAACGGUUAUCAAGAAUCCUCGACGAACGGCCAUUCUCAGAAUCAACGAUUAUCGAGAUCUAUCCAGCGAUUUUUUUCUUUUUACCAUUUUCUUCUUUUCGGGUUUGUUGAUCAAGUUCAACAUCCUUUCAUUUGUUAUGGAUUAAAAUCUGUAAUUCUUCCAUUGUUUUUCAGUUUUCAAAAAAAAAAAGAUUUCAUCUUUCUUGUCAUUUAAAAGAAAAAGAAAAAAAAACAGUUUUAUUCUAAUAAGGAAACAAGCUUGGUCUGGGUCUUUGAAGUUGUAAUGCGUUGAAAGACAUCUACUGGCAAGAAAAAUCAACAUGGAAGAAAGAGAAGCAACUCAAGUCAAGCUUUCCUCAGUUCAUCACAAACCUUGAGGACAAGGUUCUUUGACGGCCGGAGUAUUGAUGAGAUAGUAAUCGCGUUAACGUUGGUCAACGAACCGGACCUGGUUUUCAGUGUUUCAUUGUUCUUUUAAUUAUUUAUUUUAAUGAGUUUAGUUGUUAAUAAUGGAGACUGAUUCUUCCUCAUGUUUAGGAACUUAAUCAUCCCACGUUUCCUAUUUCAUCGUUUUAUAGGGAUCAUGAUCCCACAAUUGCUUCUUGUAACUUUUAUCUAUUUAAAUCAAUGCAAAUAACAAAAAGAGGUAGUCAUAACUACCCAAAAGAAAAGCGUGUUCUAGUGUGUUCUUAAUUUGUUCUUGAAUAAAUUCUCUUUGAUUUGAAAAGAGACCUUAAUUGGUAUCAAAUCACAUGUUUCUAGAUCAGCAAUAGAUUAUCCUAUAACUGGGACCUAUCAAAAGGUUAUUAGAUACGAUAUGAAGAAGAAAGAGGCCACAGUUGUAAUGGACAAACUUUUUCUUUUUUUGGUGAUAGUAAUGGACAAACUUCAUUUACCCAAUGGUUUAGAUCGUUUGUACUCACAUGUGAAAGUGUUACAAAUACUAUCCAUAGAAUAUGGGUCAAGGAUCCAAUAGCCGGGCCAACGAGGUUUUCACAAAGAUCCCGGGUCCUAUGGACAAUAUCCGGCGCACGCCUAUGGGAGAUUUAAGGGUCGCAUUGCAUUCCAAAGACAGUUUGUUCACUCGUAGUUCGUAUUCUGAUUCCGGUUCGAACCGGGAAGCGGACGUCCGAUGAAGUUUCCGUGCAACGUAGCUCUCAGUGAGUCGGCCACUGAGUUAAAUGUAAAAACAAACCAAAUUGAUGAGAUAGUAAUCGCGUUAACGUUGGUCAACGAACCGGACCUGGUUUGCAGUGUUUCAUUGUUCUUUUAAUUAUUUAUUUUAAUGAGUUUAGUUGUUAAUAAUGGAGACUGAUUCUUCCUAAUGUUUAGGAACUUAAUCAUCCCACGUUUCCCAUUUCAUCGUUGUAUAGGGAUCAUGAUCCCACAAUUGCUUCUUGUAACUUUUAUCUAUUUAAAUCAAUGCAAACAACAAAAAGAGGUAGUCAUAACUACCCAAAAGAAAAGCGUGUUCUAGUGUGUUCUUAAUUUGUUCUUGAACAAAUUCUCUUUGAUUUGAAGAGAGACCUUAAUUGGUAUCAAAUCACAUGUUUCUAGAUCAACGUUGAUAUCUCUUGGCAAGGGACCUAUCAGUGGUAUCAGAGCAUGUUUUGUUUUUGAUCCGGACCACUUUGUGGUAUCAAAAACUUUAUAUUUUUCAUCUUCCUUGUUAUCGGUAUUCUUCAUGAAUCAACGGUUAUCAAGAAUCCUCGACGAACGAUCAUUCUCAGAAUCAACGAUCAUUGAGAUCUAUCCAGCGAUUUUUUCUUUUUACCAUUUUCUUCUUUUCGGGUUUGUUGAUCAAGUUCAACAUCCUUUCAUUUGUUAUGGAUUAAAAUCUGUAAUUCUUCCAUUGUUUUUCAGUUUUCAAAAAAAAAAAAUUUCAUCUUACUUGUCAUUUAAAAGAAAAGCAAAAAAAAACAGUUUUAUUCUAAUAAGGAAACAAGCUUGGUCUGGGUCUUUGAAGUUGUAAUGCGUUGAAAGACAUCUACUGGCAAGAAGAAUCAACAUGGAAGAAAGAGAAGCAACUCAAGUCAAGCUUUCCUCAGUUCAUCACGAACCUUGAGGACAAGGUUCUUUGACGUCCGGAGUAUUGAUGAGAUAGUAAUCGCGUUAACGUUGGUCAACGAACCGGACCUGGUUUGCAGUGUUUCAUUGUUCUUUUAAUUAUUUAUUUUAAUGAGUUUAGUUGUUAAUAAUGGAGACUGAUUCUUCCUAAUGUUUAGGAACUUAAUCAUCCCACGUUUCCCAUUUCAUCGUUGUAUAGGGAUCAUGAUCCCACAAUUGCUUCUUGUAACUUUUAUCUAUUUAAAUCAAUGCAAACAACAAAAAGAGGUAGUCAUAACUACACAAAAGAAAAGCGUGUUCUAGUCUGUUCUUAAUUUGUUCUUGAACAAAUUCUCUUUGAUUUGAAGAGAGACCUUAAUUGGUAUCAAAUCACAUGUUUCUUGAUCAGCAAUAGAUUAUCCUAUAACUGGGACCUAUCAAUUGGUAUCAAUUGGAAAAGAAAAAAAAACAGUUUUAUUCUAAUAAGGAAACAAGCUUGGUAUGGGUCUUUGAAGUUGUAAUGCGUUGAAAGACAUCUACUGGCAAGAAAAAUCAACAUGGAAGAAAGAGAAGCAACUCAAGUCAAGCUUUCCUCAGUUCAUCACAAACCUUGAGGACAAGGUUCUUUGACGGCCGGAGUAUUGAUGAGAUAGUAAUCGCGUUAACGUUGGUCAACGAACCGGACCUGGUUUGCAGUGUUUCAUUGUUCUUUUAAUUAUUUAUUUUAAUGAGUUUAGUUGUUAAUAAUGGAGACUGAUUCUUCCUAAUGUUUAGGAACUUAAUCAUCCCACGUUUCCUAUUUCAUCGUUGUAUAGGGAUCAUGAUCCCACAAUUGCUUCUUGUAACUUUUAUCUAUUUAAAUCAAUGCAAAUAACAAAAAGAGGUAGUCAUAACUACCCAAAAGAAAAGCGUGUUCUAGUGUGUUCUUAAUUUGUUCUUGAAUAAAUUCUCUUUGAUUUGAAAAGAGACCUUAAUUGGUAUCAAAUCACAUGUUUCUAGAUCAGCAAUAGAUUAUCCUAUAACUGGGACCUAUCAAAAGGUUAUUAGAUACGAUAUGAAGAAGAAAGAGGCCACAGUUGUAAUGGACAAACUUUUUCUUUUUUUGGUGAUAGUAAUGGACAAACUUCAUUUACCCAAUGGUUUAGAUCGUUUGUACUCACAUGUGAAAGUGUUACAAAUACUAUCCAUAGAAUAUGGGUCAAGGAUCCAAUAGCCGGGCCAACGAGGUUUCACAAAGAUCCCGGGUCCUAUGGACGGGAAGGGUUAUUAGAUACGAUAUGAAGAAGAAAGAGGCCACAGUUGUAAUGGACAAACUUUUUCUUUUUUUGGUAAUAGUAAUGGACAAACUUCACUUACCCAAUGGUUUAGAUCGUUUGUACUCACAUGUGAAAGUGUUACAAAUACUAUCCAUAGAAUAUGGGUCAAGGAUCCAAUAGCCGGGCCAACGAGGUUUUCACAAAGAUCCCGGGUCCUAUGGACAAUAUCCGGCGCACGCCUAUGGGAGAUUUAAGGGUCGCAUUGCAUUCCAAAGACAGUUUGUUCACUCGUUUGUUUCGGAGUCACUCUUUGGUCGAAAAGUUUUUCCAUCAAGACGUUGAAGGUGGAGAGUGCGAUUCAUCUCAUUAAUGGAGGGAAACCUCAUGGAAUUGUUGUCAAACUCUCUGGAGAGACAUGACUGCAAGGGCGGAUCUAGAACUAUUUUCUACCCAAGGCACAACAUCAUUUAUAACUGAACUCAUUUAUAAAAUAAAGUUUUUGAAAUAAAGAUAAAACAUCUUACAAAUUUGUCCUACGAGAUUCAAUAUUUUUGUAUUUUUUAUCACAACUUCAUUUGUUACUUUAUCAAAUAACUAUUUUCAACCAAACAAACAACACAAUCAUUUAAAAACAGAUUACUUAUCCAGUUCCACAAGCUAGUCUUCACUAUCUUCAUCGCAAAAGAACAUCUUUCAAUUGUAGUGGUGGCAACAAGUAAAGUCAAAGCUAGUUAAAAGACAAUAAACCAGAGGAUGUGAAAGAUGUUCUUUGUCUCUACCAUCAUAUACAUGCAAGAUCUCCAAGAUCCUUCAACUUAGAAAAUCUUUCAUCUUCACAGAUGUUAUCAAUAUAGAGACCAAGUUGAUGUUCAAGAGUCAUCCGCUCGAUAGAACUAAAAUCUUCAGGAUAAAAGUCAGACAAUCUCAUAACUUUCAAUUGAUCAAACUCACGAAAUGAAUCCAUGGGGAUCAUAGAAUCCAUGCAACCAAGUAAUUCAGUGUUUACCACAUCAAAACGUCAUUAAACUCCAAAACUUUCAUAUCAAACAUAGUGUAAAAGCAUUCCACUUUGUAAUGAUGCAAACUGGUUAUAUUGUUUUUUUCUUGGAUUAUAUGAAUCAAAUUCAGCAUCCAUAACCAGCAACUCAGUCUUGUAAUUAUCACAAAAGGAAAUUUUUUUUGUUGAUUAGAGAUACCCAUCCAUUUUCUCUGCGCUUAUACAAUUGCUAUUUGUAGAUUUCACAAGCGACAUAUCAUUCAGAAUAUCCUGAUCUUUCUUUUGAAGAGCCUUUGAUAAACUAUUUGUGAUUCUAAGAAUAAGCAACAUCAACCGUAACUUAGCACAAUUCUAUAUUUUAUGAAUUAUCACGAUUCUUGUUGUUUAGAUAAUAUAAAUAAAAAAUUUCAUUUAUUUUUACCUUUUAGGUCUUUUGUUGAACUCGUUAUACGCAACCUUUGUGUUUGCUUGGGCGAAUAUUUUUUGUAGUUAUGAGAGAAUUUAAUUCUAUACUAUAUAAAAGUUAAGACUAUAAGCCAUCGAAUGCGCCCACGUAGGAUUUUAAACAAUCAACUGUAUUACGACAAAUCACAUUUUUAAUUUGCUAUUUCUAAAAAUGUUAAUAUUACCAAAAAAAUGAUUUAUUUCAAAAUAAAAUUUAAAUCGAUAUCAAAGAAGAUAAAUUUACAAAAUAUAAACAUUUUAACUAAAUUAACUUAAUUAUAACAGUAUAAUUUUUGAAUUUUAAAAUCUAAUUAACUAAUGAAAGUAGUAACUAAUUCAAAAAUGCAAUUUUUUUUGAAUAAUUAUAAAAAUAAAGUUGAGGUCGUAAGCCAUUGAAGGCGUCCACGUAGGAUUUUAUACAAUCAACCAUAUUACGACAAAUCAUAUUUUUAAUUUUCUAUUUCUAAAAAUGUCAAUAUUACCAAAAAAUCAUUUAUUUCAAUAUAAAAUUUAAAUAGAUAUCAAAGAAGAUAAAUUUACAAAAUAUAAACAUUUUAACUAAAUUAACUUAAUUAUAACAGUAUAAUUUUUGAAUUUUAAAAUCUAAUUAACUAAUUUAAGUUGUAACUAAUUCAAAAAUGCAAUUUUUUUGAAUAAUUAUAAAAAUAAAGUUGAGGUCGUAAGCCAUUGAAGGCGUCCACAUAGGAUUUUAUACAAUCAACCAUAUUACGACAAAUCAUAUUUUUAAUUUUCUAUUUCUAAAAAUGUCAAUAUUACCAAAAAAUCAUUUAUUUCAAUAUAAAAUUUAAAUAGAUAUCAAAUAAGAUAAAUUUAAAAAAUAUAAACCUUAUAAAUAAAUUAACUUAAUUAUAACGGUAUAAUUUUCAAAAUUUAAAUCUAAUUAACUAAUGAAAGUAGUAACUAAUUCAAAAAUGCAAAAGAUUGAAUAAUUAUAAAAAUAUAAAUUUAACACAUGAUUCUCAAAAUUUAGGUUAUAUGUGUUAAUGAAAAUAUUCACAAAUAAUUUUUAUACUAUAUAAAAAUUGAAACUGUAAGCUAUUGAACUUGUUCACAUCAAAACAACCAAUGAUGUUAUGACAAAUCUUCAUUUUAAUUUAACAUUUUUAAAAAUAUAAAUAUUUCCAAAAAUUGCAUAUUUAAAAAUAAAAUAAAAUUAUAUAUCAAAUACGUCAAACUAAAAAAAUUAAAAACAAUAUAAAUAAAUUUAAAAUAAUAUGUAUAAUAUUUCGAAUUUUAACAUAAAAUAAUAUGUAUAAUAUUUCGAAUUUUAACAAAAAUUUCAAAGUGUAGGGUAUAUGCUUGAUAAUAUUAACUUAAGGUAAAUCAUAUUAAAUAUCUAUUAUAAAUUUUCUAACAUUAACUUAAGUAUAAACUCUAAUAUUAAACUUUGAAGAAUAUCACUACAGCCUGAAUGAUAAACCUGAUAUGGGCAAUAGAAAAUAUUCUUUUAUUAAGAUAAUAAUAUGUUAUCUAAAGUUGCUGAUAAAAAAAAACUAAAAACAAUAAAAUUUUCCAAAUUAUAACAGUUAAAAAUGUCAACGUUUUCUAUGAAAUCUGUUAAAUUUUUAUUGGAAGUAGAAACUAUUCCAAUGAUAGUUUUGAAAAGGUAUUACAAUGAUAAAUCAAACAAACAUUAUUUAGCUUAUCAUAAAUUUAUAUUUAAUUUUUAUAUCAAAUCUAUUUUAAAGAAUUAUAAGUAACAUAAGCCUUACUACUAUUAUAUACAGUUAUUAGAUCAUGUAGAAGUGAAAUCUAACACUAUAUUUUCUUUAUAUUAAUAUCUAACUAAAUAAAAUAUUAUUUAACAUUAGUUAAAAUGAAUUAUAUUUAUUUUUAUUAUAAAAUUAUUUAACAAAAGUUAUUUAAAAUUAGUUAAAGCUCAUAAAAUAGUAAUGAUGAUUAAAUUUUAAAUCUUAAUUUUCUACUAUUACAUAUUGUUUAGAAAUAAGAAAAACUGCAUGAAAUACAAACACCACUAUUCAAAAAUACUUUAACUUUGGGUUAUGGUUUAAUGAUUAUUUUUUGGUUUAGUAUAUAGGGGGUGGGGUUGAGUUUAUAAACUUCUAUAAUAAUUUUAAACAUUUAUAAAUGAUUUAUAAAGGUUAAUUUUCUCUUUUAACAAUAAACGUAAGUACGUAAGUUAUUUAUGAAACUAAUUAUUAUUUAAAGAUAAAUUUAGAAGUUGUAUCAAAUUUGAAGUAAAUUUAUUAAUCCCCUUGGAAUAAUUAAAGAAAUGUUUUUAAAGUUUCUAUUUAAACACAAUAUAUAUAACCCACACAUUCAUUGUACAAAAAAUUCAAAAAAACAAAAGAAAAUUAAAUAUUAUGCCGUAGAUAUUUCAUUUAUGUUUUUCAAAUAAAAAAUAGCAUUGUAUAUAAAUCGAGAAAUUUAUAUAAUAUUAAAAUUUUAAAUUUUUAGUUUUCUAUAAAAAUAUAAAUACGUUAAUAGUUGUAAUUUAUAUUCUUUUAAUACAAAUAAAUAAAUAUCUAAGUAAUAAUUUUUCUAAAUGUAUAAACAAAUAUAAAUAGGAAAAAAGUAAAAAAAAAUAUUUUCAUUAUAUUUAUAAAAAAAUAUGCAUAAAUGAAUUAUAUUUAUCUUUUAAAAGUAUUACAAAACUAAAUUAUUAAUAAAGCAAACUAAACUAAAUUAAUAAAAUCUAGUUUGUAGAAAAAGAAGACAAAAAUAAACGUGGGCUUAUAGCUAGGUCAAAAUUUUAACUUUCUUAAUUAAUUUUCAUUGUUUUCUGAAUGGGGUUUUCCCAAAGGAGUUUUCCGUAUUUCGACCCGAAAAUCUAAGAGAGGCAUUACUGUUGAGAUUCUGACCAAAAAAUUAGACAUUUCAUGCCCAAUUUGAUGGAAAUUCCGGGUCGAAGAAGAGACAGAUCAACAUACGGCACAGAAAAACUCAAAUCGAUAUAAAUGGAAAAUGUCUCUGAAACUAGUAUAUCGGUCAAUCGAUGGAAUCAUCUACGCCCCAAAAUAAAACUUACUUUUAUUUUUUAUUUUUGGCUAAGAAGAUAUGUGAUUGUAUAAAAUUGUGUUUAUAUUUUUAUGUUGACGGGAACACACUUUAUUAUUCUAUUUACACAAUUAUAUUUUAACUAGAUAUAUAUAUUGUUUUUAAGUAGGGCCACGUGCCCGUAGUUAACCUUGUACAUCCGCCCAUGCACGAUUAUAUUUAACUAGAUAAAUAAAUAAAUAAAUAAAUAAAAGUUUUUUUUUAUUAAUAAAAUUACUUUUUUAUACAUGGUUAAAUGUGAUUUCAGCUAUGUUACAUGGAAACGGAAGCUGGUACGUGGAAGCGGAAGCGUAAGGAAGCGUAGAAGCGAGAUUUUUUAAAAUAUUAGGAAGCGGGUACGUGUUGGAAGCGUAUAUCUAUAUCUAUAUAUAUAUAUAAUUUUUUAAAAAGGUAGUAUGGGGCACAUGCUCCCGUAGUCAAUCUUGUACAACCGCCUCUCUUCUUGAGAUAGUUGAGGACAGUGAAGGGAAGACGAUGAAGUAUGUUAGUGAAGCUUACGAAAGCGAAGAUGGCAAGUUAUGGAUUGGGUCUGUGUAUUGACCGGCCGUUUGGGUGAUUGAAAAUUUGUUUACGGUCUCAAAUGAGUUAGUAAACGCAAACAAAAAAUAAUAAUUUGGUGGUAUGAUAAUUUUUUUAUUCUUUUUUUUAUCGUUUCGUUCCGAAAGACCAGACUCAAAGCCAGGUGGCGGUACUCACAGCUGUGAACCAUUUACCACAAGAACCAGAGGCUCCGGUUAAUAAUUUGGUGGUAUGAUAUUUGUUUUCUUUUUUUCAAACUUGUUAGAAGACAUGCAUCUUUUUUUUUUUGAACAUAGAAGACAUGCAUCUUUUUUUUUAAAAAAAGAGAAGACAUGCAUCUUCUUUUGUAUCUUCUUGUUGUUGUGUGAGUGGACUUUGAUGCUGGAGAAAUUUGGUUCAGUUGAGUAGUUUAAUGUAGUUUUGUGGGAUUUUAUAAAUUUUGUCAAGUGAUUAAAACGAAAAUUGUGUUGUGUCCGACAUGAUGUCUUCGAGAAAUUUUGAUAAAAGUAUUAUAAACUCGACGACAAGGGGGAAGGUACCCAAGAAAUGCUCGUCUUGAUAACAAUGGCUAAGUUCUUUUUGACUGAACUUUUAAGUUCGUUAAACACUAUUCUAAUUAUUAAUUUAUUUUACCUUUCAUAUAACGAUGUACGAUCAUUUUCAUUCAAAAAGAUCAUUUAAUUAUGAUGUACAUCUAGUUAGGGUUCUAAUUUUUCCUUUUUGCUAGCAUCAUGUACGCACUGUUCUUGAACUGGUUUCUGAUCUGAAAUUGGUUUGAUUAACCUGCUAAAUGUGAAUUAGUACGAGAGUUUAAAAUGUAACUAAUUAAACUCUUGCAAUUUUUAAAUUUAAUGCAACCAAAGUUAGCAAAAAAAACACUGCUAAACUAAAGCCUUGGUAUUUUUUUAAAUUACAUAAUCAAUGACCGAAAACAACACAUUCAAAAGAAGUUGUUAUUACUUAUUAAUCCUUUUCAUACGAUGUGGACUGAUUGAGCUCUUUCUCCUCGCUUUAUAUACUACUCUAUCUAUUUCUAAAAAUGUAUGUUAAAUUGGUUUUACACAUAUUAAAUUUUAAUAGUAAACAUAUUAUUUUCUGUAAUUAUUAAUUUCAAAUAAUUUUAAAUAAUAGUAUUUUAAAAGUAUAAUUAAUAUUUUUGAAGUUCGUAAUUUAUCAUUUAUUAACUAAUUAAAAUAUCUAAAAUAUAAAAUAUAUUUUGAAACAACUUUCUUAUAAAACAUUUAUCUUUCUAAUACAGAUAGAUUAAUAUAUAUAAACAAACAAAUUGUAAUUAACAAUGAAAAUGGCCAUUCGUCUAGUUUAAACUUGUAGUGGAGAAAGAUUUUAUUCUUACUUUAAUGUGAUUCGUGUCGGUAAAAGAUGUCUAGUGUCCGGUGAUGUGAUCAUGUAGAACGAGAGGGAGCACCAGCCCUUUUCCCUUUCACAGCUUAGUUUAUCUUGCAUGAUUAGUUCUCAAAAUAUUAUAGUUUUUUUUAAACAGAUUUUUCAUAUUAGAAGGCUAGAAGCGGAAAGAAAUAAAAUGUCACGCCUUACGAGGCCUCAGUUUGUUUUUAGAGCCCAGUCCAGUUACAUAAUCUCAUAUCAAUAAUCAUAAGUUAACCAAUAAUAAACCCAAUAGAUUGGAAAGUUUGGAGCUUUGAUAAUACCGAACCGUCGGAAGAGUCGUGAUCGGCUUGAAGAGGAGUUGGUGGUGAACGGAGGAGUGGCGUAUACUAUCAACAAAAGGAGAGUGGGGAUCUUAACUCAGCCAUUGCUGCAUCAUAGUUGACAAUGCCGAAUGGUUUGUCUGUGAAGAUCCGAUCUCUUAUUUGUCUGUCAAAGAGGCGAGAAACCAAAUCAUAGUUGCCAUGAAAUUACAGUAUAUGUGUUUUUCUACAUCAUGCGCAGAAAUAAAAGUUUUAAAAUUUAAAUUAUAUUUACAACAAAAAUUAUUCGUUAAUUUUUAGAUUUUAUUAUUUGUUAAAAUAUUUAAUUUUAUAUUUUAAUUAAUUAUAUGUAAAAUUUAAGAUUAAAUUUUUUUUUUUUAAUUUAUAUUUAAUAAUAUAUGUGCAUAUUUAAAAUUAUAAUCUUGGAAAGAUUUUUUAUCUAUUUAUUUUGGUUGAAAUAUAUUAAAUCAAAUUCUAAAAAUUAAAAGAAAAUUUUGUCAGAUAUAAAAUUAUCAAAACGUAAAACUAAAUAAUAUUUAUAAAAAUUUAGAUAUUAAAAGAAACUAACGGUAUAAGGAUUAGAAAUUACAUUUUUUUAAAAAACUGCAUAAAGUUUCGAAAUUUUUUUUGUAAUUAAAAUUAUAUAAUUGUAAAAAUAAAAUAAAAAUAAUAUUUCAAAAAUUGUGAAAUAUUAUUAUAUUUCUAUUUAUACUAUUAUAGUAUGUAUUGUUAUAUUUAUUGAUGACGUAUGGGUUAUUAUCAUAUUUCAAAAUUUUAUCAAAAUUAUAAAUCAACAUUUAAUAUAAAUGUACCAUGUCAUCAUUGUUAAUAAACCAUGUCAUUAUUUUUCUUUCAAAAUUAAUGUGGUGAUGAUAAUGUCAAAUUACUUCAGAAAUAAUGUAUAAGAGAUAACUAAUCAUACGUGUAGGUUGUCAAAAAGAAACUAUUCAUACCUGUAGGCUGUCAAAAAUGAUAAUCGAAUUUAAAUAUAUGCAACACUGAGAAUAAUUAUUGAAUUUAAUUUUUGUAAUAAAAAUUAUUUCAAUUUGCAUGUAUGUAAAUUCGAUUUGUUCAUUCUAGAUAACAGAUAACCAGAUAAGAUCAAAACGCAUUUCUCUUGCCAUAGGAUAAGACUUGUGCCUGACGUUACAAGAGAAAUAUGCUUGGCUAUGUCAGAUUUGGACACUUUCCUUUUUUUAUACUCAGGUUUCAGAAACUACAACCUUCAAUAGUACAAAAAAGGGAACUUUUUUCUAUAAAUAAAAACGUUACAUUAGAUGAUUCCACAUGGAUUUCAUUCACUGUAUUCAUAUUUUACAGCUGAUACUUCGACAGAAAUGGCAAUACGUGUAUAUCGUUUCUGCAUCCACACAACAAAGAAAAAUCUACACUACUUUGUCCAUUUUCGUCUGAUUUAUAUAACUAUUGUCACGUUGAUCAUGUAAGCUAAUAACAGCUAGUGUUACACACGUCUCUUCAACCAUCAUAUUUGUCUGCGGCGAAGAAAAAAAAAUGCCGAUUAGUGAGAAACUUCCAACUUGGGCCGUUGUUCCGGCUGUUUUAGCCGUGUUUUCCGUAAUUUUCUAUCAGAUCUUAAUCGCGCCGGACAAUUUGAACGGCACCAAAAAUGUAUUGUCGAUGGCUAAGACCAUACCACUUCCUGUCGAUGGACCAGAGAGCAUUGAGUGGGAUCCGCAAGGAGGAGGUCCUUAUGCUGCUCUUGUGGACGGCCGUAUUCUCAAGUGGCGUGGAGAUGGUCUCGGUUGGGUUGAGUUCGCAUACACAUCUCCUCGCAGGUUUUUACAACGUUUAUUAGACCAUGAUUAUCCCUAGUCUCUUAACUGGAGUUCUUAGCUUCGAAUAAGAGACGAAUCUUAGUUUUCUUAGAUUUUAACUAAGAAAAUCUAAGAAUCGUCUCUUAAAUAAGAAAUAUAAAAGUCGUCUCUUAGUCGAAAAAUGUAAAAAAAAAUAAAAAACUGUCAAAUCUUGAGUUAAGAACCUCCGGCUAAGAAACCGAGGUUAAUCCCUUAGAGCAUGCUUAACCAUGGUUCUUAAUUUGGGGUUUUUAACUCAUGAUUUGACACUUUUUUGUUUUUGUUUGUUUUUUUAACACUUUUCGGCUAAGAACUGGCUCUUAUAUCUCUUAUUUAAGAGACGGUUCUUAGCUUUUUUAAUUAAAAGCUAAGAAACGGUUCUCAGCCGAAACUAAGAACUUCACCCUAAAAAUCCGAGUUAAUCAUGGUCUUAGAACGCACCAUGCAUAGUGACCAAAUAAUUUAAGCAAACAAAACAAUUUGUUUGAUUAUUUAUUUUGUUUUCUUUAGAGGACUAUGAGGAUUUUACUGUAUUGUUCUGGAGCCUUUUCAUAUUUUUCCCUUCUACCCAAUAAAAUUAGAAAGAAAUUUUUUAUAUAUUUAUACUAUUAUUUUGCGAAGUGAUUUUCGAUUCUGAAAUAUAAUACUUUUAAUGAAAUUUUAUAUAUAAUUAAAACGAAUAUUAUAUUAAUAAUAUUAUAUUUCUAUGGUAUAUUAGAUAAUUGGUUAUAUAUUAAUUUAAUAAAAAUUUCAAAACUAAAAAUACAUCUUUAAAAAGAUAAUUCUUAUAUAUUGUGCUGUUAUCUAGAAAUACUAUUUUCUAUUAUAAAAUUUUUUAAAAUAUUAAUCUGUGUAAAGAUAUUUCUAAAAUAUUUCUAAUAUGUGAGUGAUUUAAAAAAAUUAACACAAUAAUAAGCAUAUAUAUUUUAGUGAAAAAACUUGUUAUAUAUAAUGAUCUGAUGUUUGAUAACUUUUUGAAAACAUUAAUAGUACUUUAUUAUGUUAAUUUUUGAAUUAGUUAAAUAUGUAUUCGUAAAAAAUCGCAUGUGCGGGAAAAUAGUAUAAAUAUGUUUACAGUUUACACUAUGGAAGUUUUUUUUAAUAAUAACAAUGAUGUAUUUAUCCAUGUUGUACGUAGAGGGAACUGUUCCCGGCAUGAAGUAGUACCUACAUGUGGAAGUCCACUAGGACUUAGUUUCGAGAAGAAAACAGGAGACUUGUACAUCUGUGAUGGUUACCUCGGGGUCAUGAAGGUUGGGCCAGAAGGAGGCUUGGCUGAGUUGGUAGUGGACCAGGCUGAAGGUCGCAAAGUAAUGUUUGCAAACCAGAUGGAUAUUGACGAAGAGGAAGAUGUCUUCUACUUCAAUGACAGUAGUGACAAGUAUCAUUUCAGGUAUGUUUUAGGCUUUACCAAACUUAUAUAUAUGCACUUAGGAUCAACCAAUUUUCGAAAUGUUUUACCUAACUUAUUGUGUUACCUAAUGUUUAAGCUUUACUUAACGUUUUAAUCUGUUUUUUUUCUCCACGAAACACAAACUUUCGUAGUUUUAUUUUUUCAUUUUCAAUUUAUAAAUAACAAAUAAAUGGAUAGAAGUUGUAGGCUGUUUCCGGUUGCAUUUUAACAAAGUUUAAUGUAUACCUAAAUUCUAACGCAAAACAAAAUAGCGUUUGAACAAUCUAAAAUUUAAAUCUAACUGUAAUUUUUGUUGGUCAGGGAUGUAUUUUACGUGAUUGUCAACGGUGAGCGGCCAGGAAGAGUGAUCAGAUACAAUAAGAAGACGAAAGAGGCCAAGGUUGUCAUGGACAAUCUCCGUUGUAACAACGGUUUGGCUCUAAACAAAGAUAGAUCUUUCUUAGUCUCAUGUGAGUCUGCCACUGGCCUUGUCCAUCGAUAUUGGAUUAAAGGUCCUAAAGCCGGGACUCGUGAUAUCUUCGCCAAGGUUCCUGGUUAUCCUGACAACAUCCGUUUGACACCCACUGGUGAUUUUUGGAUUGGUAUACACUGUAAGAAAAACUUACUAGGACGAUUGGUUGUGAAUAAUCAGUGGUUAGGGAAGUUGGUUGAAAAGACGGUGAAGUUAGAGUUAUUGAUUGGGUUAGUGAACGGGUUUAAGCCGCAUGGGGUCGCCGUGAAAAUUUCCGGGGAGACGGGGGAGAUAGUUGAGAUACUUGAGGACAAAGAAGGGAAGACAAUGCAGUAUGUGAGUGAGGCUUAUGAGAGAGAUGAUGGUAAGAUAUGGUUUGGGUCCGUUUUCACGCCUGCCGUAUGGGUUCUUGAUCGCAAGUGAGUGAUUCCGUUUGUUGUAUGUACGGAGUCAUGUUUUGUAAGUUAAGUGUCUCUUGUUUGUUGCUUGUAUUUAAAAAUAGACAUGCUUGUAGAGUAGAUGCAUCCACUGUACCAUGUACAGUUUCAAUAACUAAAUACUUCUUGACGCUCCUUCCUCUUGUUUACUUUGUUCACAUACAGCCUCACCCUCGCAGAGAAUAAGAGGCUAACACAAUUGUACUAAGCUCGAUAUGAAUACAUACAGAAAAGUAAUCACAUUACAUAAAGCAAAUAAAUUACAUUCCUGUAUAGCAUUAAUAUUAGUUUAAAACUAAACCUGAAAAGACGAAACUUUUGAUGAAGAACAGCUACAUGAAAGAGAGAGAUAAGACACCUGAGCUUGCAAAGGACGUUCAAGUGUGCAGGUGACUGAUUCAGAGUGGUUCAAUACCCUAGUUUAAACGCGGGGGAGGGGGGGUUCUCUAUGUUUAAACAACUGAACAUAGAAUUGUUUAAAGGUCAUUUGUGUUUAAAUUAAACCCAUUGAAGGGUUUUAAUAGGCCCAAUUAAGAGAUAGAGAGACCAGAAAAGUAAAGCUAUGGAAACUGAUCCCUUCAUAUUUUUACCAUUUUGGAAUAUUUUGACAUGUUCCUUGAAAAGUAUCAGUCUGAUGUCUGAAACAGAGAAGCAUACUUGUUUUAAAGGUAAUGAUUGUAGUUGACCCUAGGUCGUUGUAGUUGACCCUAGGUCGAUAAUGCCUUUACAUUAUAGAUCACCGACCGUUGUUUAUUGAAUUUAACCUUUAUAUAUUUAUCAACAAAUGUUUUUUUUUUUUGGUGGGUCAACAAAUAAAUAAAAUGCUUAUGUAUAUGCUGACAACUUGCUUAUGUAUAGGCUUACAACAUUAGAAUUGUUUGGCUGAACCUUCUUCCACCUGAUUUCCACGAGCCUCCAACACUUUCUUGAGGCCGAGUCAUCUUUCAGUAUGUGAACUCUAAUUCUUUAGUGUCAAUGAGUGUACUCUUAAUGCCUGCAAUAUUCUUAUUAAUUGUGACUGGACAUAGCUCUCGCGUGGUACGUAGACUCUGGCGUGUGCCCACUUACGUCCUGAGAUCCAAAUAUUUCUCUUUAUAGUAUAAGUAAGUCGUAUAACACUUCGGAAACACUUAUUAUAUAGUUUCUUAAAUUUUAUUUAACUAGAGAUUUAUUUGUUUAUUUUAUCCUAUUAUCCGGAUAUAAAUAUAUUCCACAAUUAUAUCUCCACCUAUAGUUCAGGGAAGUCCCAGCUUCAAGAGAGAACGUAAUCUUAUAACUUGACAGUAAGCAAACAAAAAUGUGUGCAUUAGUCCCUCCAGUGUUCCCAAACUUUGGGUGGCCGUCGACAGGAGAGUACGAGAGUAACUACCUGGCAGGAGUGAACCUCGAGGACUUUACGUUUCUUGAUUUUCCGGCACCAGAGACAUAUGGAGUGGAACAUUAUCAGGAGAUUCAGGAAAUGUUGGGGGUCUCUGUUCCGUCCGAGGGGAAUGGAGUCUUAACCAAGAAGCUUAAUCACAAUGCUAGUGAGCGUGACCGUCGCAAGAAGAUCAACUCUUUGUUCUCGUCUCUCCGUUCAUGUCUCCCAGCUUCUGAUCAAACGGUAAGUAGCUACUCCGCUAUAUCGUCUAAUUAGUUUCACCUCAAAACCAAAUAGCAAUAAUUAGAUAAUUAGUCUGCUCAUUACAUUAUUUUAUGUGAUAUUUAUAAUACGCUUGUCCAUACAUCUAAUACCAUUUAGAGGAAGAAUAUUGAAUUAACUCUUUUUUCUUUAAUUUCUUUAAUUUCUUUCUUGCAAAAGAAGCUAAGUAUUCCUCAGACGGUUUCUCGGAGCUUGAAGUACAUUCCAGAGCUGCAAGAGCAAGUGAAGAAGCUAAUACAAAAGAAGGAAGAACUCUUGGUGCGAGUAUCAGGUCAAAGAGCCAUUGAACAUUACGUUGAGCCGCAGCCAAAGGCCGUUGCACGUUACGUCUCGACCAUUUCUGCGACUAAGCUUGGAGACAACGAAGUGAUGGUCCAAAUCUCAUCGUCCAAGAAUCAUAACUUUUCGAUAUCUAAUGUGUUGAGUGGGUUAGAAGAAGAUGGGUUUGUUCUUGUUGAUGUUUCAUCUUCAAGGUAUCAUGGAGAAUGGCUCUUCUACUCUUUGCAUCUUCAAAUCUAUAUAUAUAAAGAAAUGUUCGCCUCUCUCCCGUGAAGCCACAUCAUCAAUUUGUGCGUUUUGGGAGUGACACGUGUCCCAUUUUAUAUUUAGGGCCAAAAUAAAUAAAUGCAGUUAAGGGUAAUUGAACCCAGCACCUCUAGCACUGGUAAUUUCUCUUAGAACCACUAGGCUAAAGUCACUUUUUAUAAAUAUGUGGCCGCGAAAAUACUUAUUAUCGUGUCAGCUGGAAGCCCAUGCUUCUUCUGCUUGUGGCCAGGGCCGACACUGAACUGACGUCAAGAUGAAAAUCGUGAAGUUAAAAACUUUGCUCCAAACAGUUUUGCAAUGUUUCCAACCUUUAUAACUUGAUGCAUAUAAUAUAUAUCAAAAUACAUUUGUUGUACACGCUUUUAUUAGUUUUGCUUUUAAAAGAAAUUAUUUACAGUUAUAAAUGUUUUGUGCCAGUGAAGUAAUAGUUGAAAAAUCUCUAUACAUAUGUUAUUUUAAAAUAACACUCAACUUCUAUAUAUAGUCAAUACAUAUGUGCAUGUUAUAUUCUAGACUAAAUAUUUUCUCUUUUAAAAAUAUAAAAAACAAUUUUUUUAGUCUACAAGCAAAUGUUGUAGAACAAGUAUGCAUUAUACAAAAUAAUAUAUAUUUAAAAUCCAUACACAAAAACAUAAAAGUUGUUACAGGCUUCUUUCUGACACAUGCACACUCCACUAUGAAUAAAAAUUAAAAAAAAAACAGUAUUGUCAUCAGACUUUAUCACAAAUCUACAUUUGUACAUCUAUAAUUAUGAGUUAUACAAUUAGUUAAUUUGAUACAAUACCAAAGCAAGAAUAAUCGAAAAACAACUAUACCACCGCAUACUAAUAAGUAAGACAUAACAGAUAACCAAAUUCUUAAAUCUUAAAACAAAUUUCAACUCGAGCAUUUAGUGAAUAUCAAAUUAACUAAUAUCCCGCCCGUAGGGCGGGCCGACCCUAGUGGGAAAUAAAGAUAAUCACAAACUGAAGUGCGAAGAGCUAGGCCAGAGAAUUUUGUACUUGUACGAGGAAUGUGAAAACUCAUUUAGAUGAUAAUUUGUUAUUGUUUCUUUUAGUUAAAAAGUAAGAGACCGUAUCUUAUAUUACGCUAAAAGACCCAACCUAAGAAACCUGCAAUAAACAUGCUCUAAUAUCCAUGUAGUCAAGUUGUUUCGUUUAUUUUUCUUGUCGAAGUCAAUGAUCGAUUAUUACAUUUACAUGCUAUUGAAUAUUGACUGAUUACUAUGAAAUUCAUGUUACUGAAAACUUUUAUUUUUGUUUAGACUUUUGUCUUUGGGGGCUCAACUUUUUGUCGUCUUCUACUCUUUGUUUAUGUAUUUUUUAAUUAUUUACAUAUUGUUAACAGUUAGUUGUGUAUUGUAUAUUAAUAAAAUCAACAAGGAAAAUUUAUUUUUUCAGGCAAAAAAAUGAUAACUAUGUUCUAUUAGGCUAAUUUUUCUUUUGUAUCAUUUUUUCCUCUAAUAUUCUUAAGUAUUUUCUAAAAUAAAUUUAAUAAAUAGUUUUACAAACAAAAAAAAUUCAAAAAAUAGUAACCACUGAUGAAAUACCUAUAUCAACUUAUUGGUAUUUUUUUCCAAUUCUAAAAAUGUUUAAAUCAUAAUUUUAAAUUUUGUUCUACAAAAAAUAGAAUUGACAUUCUACACAGUAGAAAAUGUAAUCCACUUUUUUCAUUGAAUCUAAUAUGUUUGGAAUACGUCAUCUACCUAAACAAUAGUAAUCUAAAAAUAUUUGGAAAACACAUUUCGCGCUUAACCUAUCAUUCUAAAAAUUGUAGAAUUUGAAAUCUACACAUUACUAUAAAUCUAAACCUGUAGAAAUCGUAAUAUACACAUUACUAUAAAUCUAAAACUAGUAGAAAUCGAUUUAAAACAUGUUUAAUGUGUUCUACAUAUACUAGAAUAAAGAUUCUACGGAUAAGAAUAAUCAGUUCCAAAAAUAUGGGAAGAGAAUAUUUGGAAAUAUUCAGUUUCCUUAAAUUUAUUAAAUCGAUUUUUUUUUAAAAAAAUCGUGAUUUAUAAAAUUAAUUUUUAAAUUAAAAAAAAUAAAACAUCGAUUUGGAAAUUUUUUCUCAUGCCAUCUUCUUCUCCCCUUUGUUCUUCAAGGAGAAGAGAAAAAUGAGUUUGAUUGAUUAGAAAUCGAGUUUUAAGAGUUCACCUCGUGUUUGUUCGGUUCAAAUCAAGUGGGAAUCAAACCGGAUUUAACCGACGAAAACCAGGAAAUCGAUUUGGAAGACUUACCUAGGCACGAGAUCGAUCGAUCCUGAAGACGCGACCGAUCGAUCCCGAAGACGCGACCGAUCGAUCGAAGUGGGAUCGAGCUUCUGCGAUCGACUGACCUGGGCUUGGUCGAUCAGUAUAUGCUCUGCAUAUUUUUGUUGUUCUGGAUAAAUUUAUCAGGAUCGACCGGUUUAGAUUGAACUUUUGCUUACGGGAUUGAUCGAUCCCUUUGAGAAAAAAACUUCGAACUUUAGAUUUUUUUGGAGAUUUUUAAUAUUUUAUUUUAAUUAUUUUAGUUAAAAUUAUAUUUUAAUAUUUAACAAUGUUUUAUUAAUUGCAAUUUUGAAAAUUUUAAUUGAAAUUAAGGACAAUAUUGUCAUUUUGAAAAUAUUUAGACUAAUAGGACAUAAAGUAUAUGAGAUUAGCCUAAUAGGACAUAGUUAUCAUUUAUUUGACCUAAAAAAAAACAAUUUUCCCAAUCAACAAAGACAAAAGUGGUCCUUAAGCUUAUAACUAACUGUAUCACUAAUAUGAUAUAAUGGACAACAUUAUAUUCUCUAUAAAAACUGAACAUAGAAUUUUUUAAAGGUCAUUUGUGUUUAAAUUAAGAAAAAAUUGUCAAAACACCACAGAAGACCAACUACAUUGUCCCUAUAGCAUAAAUCCUUUUUUGGUCGGAUUUGGACUUAGAUACCCCUGGCCAACUUAAAAAAUUCAUAUCAAUUAUUUUAAGAGUCAGAAAAAUAUGAAAAAUUAUUCAAAAUGUACAUAAACAUGAAACAAUCAUAUGAAAAAUAAUUUGGCUGACUAAAUAUUAGUGUAACAUAAUUUCAUAUUUUGAUCUUCAGAUCGCAGAAAACAAAAUCUACUAACUACGGAUAUGUAGAUCGUAGUUUCGGUUAACUACAUAUAUAUCUGGCGCUUGAAGAUGUUAAAAUCUACGAUUUCGUAAUAUGUCUACUACCGCAGAAAGAAAAGGUUACGGUUUUGCUUACGAUCUGAACCCCGAAAGAUUUCAUGAACUAAUGUCUCCUAUAUAUCUACUGGCUCGGAAUCAUAGAAUCUGCCAGUUACUAAUACUCUACCAUGGUAAUAUUUCGUUAUCUACUAAGAUAUUAUAACCUAUCUCUGCCGGAUUAUACAUUCUGCCAUCAUAUCUACCAUCAUAUAUACAAUCUACUGGCAACAAAAUGCAUGUUCUGCCAAAUUCGAAUUAUUUUCGAAAAUAUUCCUUAAAUCUUUCCAAAAUCUGUUGAAAAAUAUUUUGUAAAUCUUUAAUUUCCCAAAUUUUACGUGUUUCCUAAAGUUAUGUUUUAAAAAAAAAAACCGUGACCUCUCUUCUUCUUCUUCACAAGUUCUUGAUUAAUUUUGAAACCAUCCCAAAAAUUUGAACCCCUUGUUGAAGAACAUGCAUAUCUAUGCCUCUUGUGGGGUGUGGAAAUUUGAUCCCUGUAAAGGAUGGGGAUUUUGCUUUUGAUAAGGUAAAAGGAGGAAGAGUACUUGCUGUGGAAUUGACAAGUUCCUUUGAAGAUCUAAGGACUACGGCUUUUGAGGAUUUUGGAAUUGACCAAAACGAUGUCGAGCUUGAGUUAACCUACUUACCUAUGGAGUUAAUCAAUACGAUAGACUGUCCUCCAGUUAUCAUUGAGAAUGAUCGGCAAGUCAAGAAUUUUCUUACAUAUGUACGUGGAAAAGCUUCUUCAAGGUUGUGUGUGUCUAUUUCACAUGUCAAUGCAAACAACGACAACAUUGAGCUUGAUAAGGAGCAAUCUAACGCGUCUGGCAGAGAGCGAGGUGAGCCUUCCUCAUUUUCACCUGGAGAUGGCAUUGGUAGUUCUUGUGAAUCGAGCCAGGAUGGUGAAGACGAAUGUAACUCGAACGCCCCAGAAGAAGAUGAAGAUGCUGACUUAAGUGUAAAAGAAGAGGAUAAGGGAAUAAGUGUUCGGUUCUCUUUGAAGGAUGUUGUGAAGAGGGGUGAAACGUUUCAAAACAAAUCUAAGUUGAAAGCAGCAUUGGAAAUGUCAGCAAUGAAGAAUAACUUCGAUUACAAAGUUGUGAAUUCAGAUAGAAAACUUUGGUACAUCCGAUGCGUGGACAACAAGUGUAGGUGGAGUGUUCGUGCUGAGGGGUUAUCAGGAUCCACAUAUUUCAUCAUCAAAAAAUAUGUGGCGGAUCAUACAUGUGCUGCGUCAAGUAUGAAUAAUGGUGGUCGGACAGCUUCUGCAAAAACUAUUGGGAGUCUAAUAAUGCAUAGGUAUGAUGGUGUCAAAGAAGGUCCCAAAGCUAAUGAUAUCAUACAGAUUAUGAGAAUGGAACAUGGAUGCGAGAUAUCUAAAUCAUUAGCGUGGGACGCUCGUGAGUAUGCGAUUAGUCUGGUUAGAGGCAUUCCCGAGCAGAGUUUUGGAAAAAUUCCGAAAUACUUGCACAUGCUGAAAGAAGCUAAUCCAGGAACACACACCUUUUACGAAACCGAUGUUGAUGGUAAAUUCAGAUUUCUCUUUGUUUCGUUUGGGCAAUCAGUACGAGGUUUUCAUACAUCCAUGCGAAAAGUUUUUGUUGUUGAUGAGACAUUUUUGAAGAGCAAAUACAAAGGGGUAUUACUUGUUGCAACAACUUUAGAUGGAGACUCCAACUUGUAUCCUAUUGCAUUUGCGGUUGUGGACUCAGAAAAUGAUCGUUCAUGGGAUUGGUUUUUCAGACAACUAAAGGUUGUUGUUCCGGACGAGCGUGCUCUUGCCUUUGUGUCGGACAGAAAUAACUCACUUUGUAAGGGGCUUGAGAAUGUGUAUCCUCUUUCUCAACAUGGAAUUUGUAUUCACCAUUUGUUAAAUAAUGUGGUCACACAUUACAGAGGAAAAGGAGUGGUUGGAUUGAUUGCAAAAGCUUCUAAAGCUUAUAGAGUUGUUGAUUUUCAGAAGCGAUUCNNNNNNNNNNNNNNNNNNNNNNNNNNNNNNNNNNNNNNNNNNNNNNNNNNNNNNNNNNNNNNNNNNNNNNNNNNNNNNNNNNNNNNNNNNNNNNNNNNNNNNNNNNNNNNNNNNNNNNNNNNNNNNNNNNNNNNNNNNNNNNNNNNNNNNNNNNNNNNNNNNNNNNNNNNNNNNNNNNNNNNNNNNNNNNNNNNNNNNNNNNNNNNNNNNNNNNNNNNNNNNNNNNNNNNNNNNNNNNNNNNNNNNNNNNNNNNNNNNNNNNNNNNNNNNNNNNNNNNNNNNNNNNNNNNNNNNNNNNNNNNNNNNNNNNNNNNNNNNNNNNNNNNNNNNNNNNNNNNNNNNNNNNNNNNNNNNNNNNNNNNNNNNNNNNNNNNNNNNNNNNNNNNNNNNNNNNNNNNNNNNNNNNNNNNNNNNNNNNNNNNNNNNNNNNNNNNNNNNNNNNNNNNNNNNNNNNNNNNNNNNNNNNNNNNNNNNNNNNNNNNNNNNNNNNNNNNNNNNNNNNNNNNNNNNNNNNNNNNNNNNNNNNNNNNNNNNNNNNNNNNNNNNNNNNNNNNNNNNNNNNNNNNNNNNNNNNNNNNNNNNNNNNNNNNNNNNNNNNNNNNNNNNNNNNNNNNNNNNNNNNNNNNNNNNNNNNNNNNNNNNNNNNNNNNNNNNNNNNNNNNNNNNNNNNNNNNNNNNNNNNNNNNNNNNNNNNNNNNNNNNNNNNNNNNNNNNNNNNNNNNNNNNNNNNNNNNNNNNNNNNNNNNNNNNNNNNNNNNNNNNNNNNNNNNNNNNNNNNNNNNNNNNNNNNNNNNNNNNNNNNNNNNNNNNNNNNNNNNNNNNNNNNNNNNNNNNNNNNNNNNNNNNNNNNNNNNNNNNNNNNNNNNNNNNNNNNNNNNNNNNNNNNNNNNNNNNNNNNNNNNNNNNNNNNNNNNNNNNNNNNNNNNNNNNNNNNNNNNNNNNNNNNNNNNNNNNNNNNNNNNNNNNNNNNNNNNNNNNNNNNNNNNNNNNNNNNNNNNNNNNNNNNNNNNNNNNNNNNNNNNNNNNNNNNNNNNNNNNNNNNNNNNNNNNNNNNNNNNNNNNNNNNNNNNNNNNNNNNNNNNNNNNNNNNNNNNNNNNNNNNNNNNNNNNNNNNNNNNNNNNNNNNNNNNNNNNNNNNNNNNNNNNNNNNNNNNNNNNNNNNNNNNNNNNNNNNNNNNNNNNNNNNNNNNNNNNNNNNNNNNNNNNNNNNNNNNNNNNNNNNNNNNNNNNNNNNNNNNNNNNNNNNNNNNNNNNNNNNNNNNNNNNNNNNNNNNNNNNNNNNNNNNNNNNNNNNNNNNNNNNNNNNNNNNNNNNNNNNNNNNNNNNNNNNNNNNNNNNNNNNNNNNNNNNNNNNNNNNNNNNNNNNNNNNNNNNNNNNNNNNNNNNNNNNNNNNNNNNNNNNNNNNNNNNNNNNNNNNNNNNNNNNNNNNNNNNNNNNNNNNNNNNNNNNNNNNNNNNNNNNNNNNNNNNNNNNNNNNNNNNNNNNNNNNNNNNNNNNNNNNNNNNNNNNNNNNNNNNNNNNNNNNNNNNNNNNNNNNNNNNNNNNNNNNNNNNNNNNNNNNNNNNNNNNNNNNNNNNNNNNNNNNNNNNNNNNNNNNNNNNNNNNNNNNNNNNNNNNNNNNNNNNNNNNNNNNNNNNNNNNNNNNNNNNNNNNNNNNNNNNNNNNNNNNNNNNNNNNNNNNNNNNNNNNNNNNNNNNNNNNNNNNNNNNNNNNNNNNNNNNNNNNNNNNNNNNNNNNNNNNNNNNNNNNNNNNNNNNNNNNNNNNNNNNNNNNNNNNNNNNNNNNNNNNNNNNNNNNNNNNNNNNNNNNNNNNNNNNNNNNNNNNNNNNNNNNNNNNNNNNNNNNNNNNNNNNNNNNNNNNNNNNNNNNNNNNNNNNNNNNNNNNNNNNNNNNNNNNNNNNNNNNNNNNNNNNNNNNNNNNNNNNNNNNNNNNNNNNNNNNNNNNNNNNNNNNNNNNNNNNNNNNNNNNNNNNNNNNNNNNNNNNNNNNNNNNNNNNNNNNNNNNNNNNNNNNNNNNNNNNNNNNNNNNNNNNNNNNNNNNNNNNNNNNNNNNNNNNNNNNNNNNNNNNNNNNNNNNNNNNNNNNNNNNNNNNNNNNNNNNNNNNNNNNNNNNNNNNNNNNNNNNNNNNNNNNNNNNNNNNNNNNNNNNNNNNNNNNNNNNNNNNNNNNNNNNNNNNNNNNNNNNNNNNNNNNNNNNNNNNNNNNNNNNNNNNNNNNNNNNNNNNNNNNNNNNNNNNNNNNNNNNNNNNNNNNNNNNNNNNNNNNNNNNNNNNNNNNNNNNNNNNNNNNNNNNNNNNNNNNNNNNNNNNNNNNNNNNNNNNNNNNNNNNNNNNNNNNNNNNNNNNNNNNNNNNNNNNNNNNNNNNNNNNNNNNNNNNNNNNNNNNNNNNNNNNNNNUAGAAAGAUAAGAGAACUGAUUUGUGAAAUCCGUAUUAACCACUCCAAGGCUGGAUUUCUCCUCAGCCAGCAGGAUUUCUCUUCCACCACCUAGCCAACAAAUCAAACUUUUGUUUUUUUGUUUCUUUUUUUUUUUUUAGUUUUUUUUUUCUAAUUUAAAAAAAAGAAAAUUAAAAAGCAGACCAAUCGCGGAGCGCCACGUGUCGGUGGAACCCGCAAACAGUGCAAAACACACACAUCAGUCGUUUCUUAUUUUGCCCACUUUGCAUACGGUUUUUCUAAAACCUCGGCCCCCCACCGCUUUAGAGACGUUAAAAAUGUAGCGAUAAUAAUGCUCUAAUAGUGACAUAAAACAUAACAAUUAAAAGCCAGGAAAGUAACUUUUUUUAAGAAAAAAUUGCCAAAACACCACAGAAAAACAACUACAUUGUCCCUAUACCAUAAAUCAUUUUUUUGUCAGAUUUGGACUUAGAUACCUCUGGUCAACUUCAAAAAUUCAUAUCAAUUAUUUUAAGAGUCAGAAAAAUAUGAAAAAUUAUUCAAAAUGUACAUAAACAUGAAACAAUCAUAUGAAAAAUAAUUUGGCUGACUAAAUAUUAGUGUAACAUAAUUUCAUAUUUUGAUCUUCAGAUCGCAGAAAACAAAAUCUACUAACUACGGAUAUGUAGAUCGUAGUUUCGGUUAACUACAUAUAUAUCUGGCGCUUGAAGAUGUUAAAAUCUACGAUUUCGUAAUAUGUCUACUACCGCAGAAAGAAAAGGUUACGGUUUUGCUUACGAUCUGAACCCCGAAAGAUUUCAUGAACUAAUGUCUCCUAUAUAUCUACUGGCUCGGAAUCAUAGAAUCUGCCAGUUACUAAUACUCUACCAUGGUAAUAUUUCGUUAUCUACUAAGAUAUUAUAACCUAUCUCUGCCGGAUUAUACAUUCUGCCAUCAUAUCUACCAUCAUAUAUACAAUCUACUGGCAGCAGAAUGCAUGUUCUGCCAAAUUCGAAUUAUUUUCGAAAAUAUUCCUUAAAUCUCUCCAAAAUCUGUUGAAAAAUAUUUUGUAAAUCUUUAAUUUCCCAAAUUUUACGUGUUUCCUAAAGUUAUGUUUUUAAAAAAUAACUGUGACCUCUCUUCUUCUUCUUCACAAGUUCUUGAUUAAUUUUGAAACCACCCCAAAAAUUUGAACCCCUUGUUGAAGAACAUGCAUAUCUAUGCCUCUUGUGGGGUGUGGAAAUUUGAUCCCUGUAAAGGAUGGGGAUUUUGCUUUUGAUAAGGUAAAAGGAGGAAGAGUACUUGCUGUGGAAUUGACAAGUUCCUUUGAAGAUCUAAGGACUACGGCUUUUGAAGAUUUUGGAAUUGACCAAAACGAUGUCGAGCUUGAGUUAACCUACUUACCUAUGGAGUUAAUCAAUACGAUAGACUGUCCUCCAGUUAUCAUUGAGAAUGAUCGGCAAGUCAAGAAUUUUCUUACAUAUGUACGUGGAAAAGCUUCUUCAAGGUUGUGUGUGUCUAUUUCACAUGUCAAUGCAAACAACGACAACAUUGAGCUUGAUAAGGAGCAAUCUAACGCGUCUGGCAGAGAGCGAGGUGAGCCUUCCUCAUUUUCACCUGGAGAUGGCAUUGGUAGUUCUUGUGAAUCGAGCCAGGAUGGUGAAGACGAAUGUAACUCGAACGCCCCAGGUGUGUGCAAUAUUAGUCCAGCUAUUGGAAAAUAUUUAAGAGAUGCAGAUGUUACAAAGUGGGCUCGCUGUCAGUUUCAAGGAUACAGGUACGACAUCAGGACGACAAACCCGGCUGAGUCAAUAAACUCUGCUUUGCGCUCACCAAGAGAGUAUCCAGUCAUUCCUUUGUUGGAUAGCAUCAAAGAAAUGCUUACCCGUUGGUUCUUCGAACGACGCACACGAAGCAGGAAGCACACAAAACCAUUAACUAUUGCCAUCGAGAAAAAGAUAGAUAGACGGAUUAACAAGGGUAAAAUGUUUCUUGUCCAGCCAGUUAACGUGCAUCAUUUUUUGGUUCGCGGAGAUACAAUCGACUGCCUGGUUGAUUUGGACAGAAGAACAUGCUCUUGUGGGAAAUACGACCUACUGAAAAUCCCAUGUAGACACGCAAUCAAGGCUGGUUUAACAGUUGGCAUGAUGGUGUCAAAGAAGGUCCCAAAGCUAAUGAUAUCAUACAGAUUAUGAGAAUGGAACAUGGAUGCGAGAUAUCUAAAUCAUUAGCGUGGGACGCUCGUGAGUAUGCGAUUAGUCUGGUUAGAGGCAUUCCCGAGCAGAGUUUUGGAAAAAUUCCGAAAUACUUGCACAUGCUGAAAGAAGCAAAUCCAGGAACACACACCUUUUAUGAAACCGAUGUUGAUGGUAAAUUCAGAUUUCUCUUUGUUUCGUUUGGGCAAUCAGUAUGAGGUUUUCAUACAUCCAUGCGAAAAGUUCUUGUUAUUGAUGGGACAUUUUUGAAGAGCAAAUACAAAGGAGUAUUACUUGUUGCGACGACUUUAGAUGGAAACUCCAACUUGUAUCCUAUUGCAUUUGCGGUUGUGGACUCGGAAAAUGAUCGUUCAUGGGAUUGGUUUUUCAGACAACUAAAGGUUGUUGUUCCGGACGAGCGUGCUCUUGCCUUUGUGUCGGACAGAAAUAAUUCACUUUGUAAGGCGCUUGAGAAUGUGUAUCCUCUUUCUCAACGUGGAAUUUGUAUUCACCAUUUGUUGAAUAAUGUGGUCACACAUUACAGAGGAAAGGGAGUGGUUGGAUUGAUUGCAAAAGCUUCUAAAGCUUAUAGAGUUGUUGAUUUUCAGAAGCGAUUCCAAGCUGUGUGCAAUAUUAGUCCAGCUAUUGGAAAAUAUUUAAGAGAUGCAGAUGUUACAAAGUGGGCUCGCUGUCAGUUUCAAGGAUACAGGUACGACAUCAGGACGACAAACCCGGCUGAGUCAAUAAACUCUGCUUUGCGCUCACCAAGAGAGUAUCCAGUCAUUCCUUUGUUGGAUAGCAUCAAAGAAAUGCUUACCCGUUGGUUCUUCGAACGACGCACACGAAGCAGGAAGCACACAAAACCAUUAACUAUUGCCAUCGAGAAAAAGAUAGAUAGACGGAUUAACAAGGGUAAAACGUUUCUUGUCCAGCCAGUUAACGAGCAUCGUUUUUUGGUUCGCGGAGAUACAAUCGACUGCCUGGUUGAUUUGGACAGAAGAACCUGCUCNNNNNNNNNNNNNNNNNNNNNNNNNNNNNNNNNNNNNNNNNNNNNNNNNNNNNNNNNNNNNNNNNNNNNNNNNNNNNNNNNNNNNNNNNNNNNNNNNNNNNNNNNNNNNNNNNNNNNNNNNNNNNNNNNNNNNNNNNNNNNNNNNNNNNNNNNNNNNNNNNNNNNNNNNNNNNNNNNNNNNNNNNNNNNNNNNNNNNNNNNNNNNNNNNNNNNNNNNNNNNNNNNNNNNNNNNNNNNNNNNNNNNNNNNNNNNNNNNNNNNNNNNNNNNNNNNNNNNNNNNNNNNNNNNNNNNNNNNNNNNNNNNNNNNNNNNNNNNNNNNNNNNNNNNNNNNNNNNNNNNNNNNNNNNNNNNNNNNNNNNNNNNNNNNNNNNNNNNNNNNNNNNNNNNNNNNNNNNNNNNNNNNNNNNNNNNNNNNNNNNNNNNNNNNNNNNNNNNNNNNNNNNNNNNNNNNNNNNNNNNNNNNNNNNNNNNNNNNNNNNNNNNNNNNNNNNNNNNNNNNNNNNNNNNNNNNNNNNNNNNNAAUUCUUCAAUUCCCAACAAUCCUUCUUCAAGUGACCCUUCUUGCCACAGUGGUAGCAUUUAAAAGUCUUCUUACUUCUUGACUUUGAUCUACCAUGUUUGUGACUCCCACUUGAGCCAUGUUCCAUUGAUCUCCCUCUCAUCACCGUCAAUGCCUCUAUUUGGGAAUUUUCUCGUCUGUCUUCCUUACUUUUGCGCCGACUUUCUUCUUCUAGAACCGCAGCUGCAACAUCGUCAAAGACUAGACUGUCGGUGGAGACAUUAUUUGUUAAGUUGAUGAUGAGUUGAUCAUAUGAAUCUGGUAGACUUUGAAGUAGAAGCUCAGAAUUUUCUUGUGAUUCUACUUUAUAACUCAACGAAGUGAGUUGAGAAAAUAAAGUAUUCAACGUGUUGAUGUGCUCCGUCACUGAAGUAUAUUCUCCCAUCCGAAGGGUAUAAAGCUUCUGGAUAGAGCAGGAUCACAGCUAAUAAUUUGAGAAAUAGUGUAAUAAAUGGAACACCGGAUUUAACGUGGAAAACCCCAAAGGGUAAAAACUACGGACAAGGUAGAAGAAUUUAUUACGAGAAAAAUAAUAGGAGUUACAACCUCUCAAUUAUAACGGAGAAAUCGAUUAAUAAUUUUCUCGUUAUAAUAGGAGAAAAUACCAAAACUCUCUAAAUAAUUUUCUCUCAACCCGAUCCCAAAUACCCGUAAGAAAUUUUUUUUUUUUUUCUCUCUCACGUUCUUCUUCUUCCUCACUUCUCUCUGUGAUUUUGAUUUUUGGGAUGAAUGAAAUGGUUCACCAUAUCUCUCAUUUUAUAAGCAUGAAGAAGGUGUUUGGUGAGCUCACAAUCUUUGACAAAACCAACGUCAAUAAUUUCAGCCACCUAACAUCACCGUCCAUGCCAUCACCGUCCACUCCUCCGACCAUCAUAUUAAAAACGUGUUUUAACAUAUUUCAGUAUGUAAAUAAUAAUGUUAUUAUAGUUUUCAUAUGCCUCUUCAAUUCCUAUACAUUAUAUCCAAGGAAGGAUGACUGGACCUAGUGCAUGCGUGGAACAUAAGCUCCCGAACGUGCCAAACUGUGUCCUACCGCUACCAAGACCUACAUAUUUAUCAUUGUAGUAAAUAUAAGUAUAUAUAACGCAUAACUAUAUAGUCUGAACGAAUCAAAUUACAACUUUAUUAUAUAGGUUUUUUUUUUUGAAAAAUCUUUAUUAUAUAGUUUGUAGAUUAAUAUCUAACAACGUAGAUUUUUUUCUUAAAUCCUUUAUCCGCUAUAUAAUCGGGAGACACUUUUAUUCCAGCCAAAGUACAGCUUCGAUAGAAAACAUAAGCUAUAAACUUGUCUCUAAUUAAGCAAAGAAAAUGUGUGCAUUGGUCCCUCCAGUGUACGAGAGCUACGAGAGAGUACGAGAGCUACUACGGUAGUGGAGAGUACCUCACCAACGGCACAUUUUUUUAUUUUCCGGAGACUUUUGGAGUGGUUCAUCAACAGAACGUGCUUAGGGGUUUCUGUUUCGUCAGAAGUAAUUGGAAUAGACAAGAACCCGGUUGUAACCAAGAAGCUUAAACACAAUGCAAGCGAGCGUGACCGUCAGAAGAAGAUCAACUCUUUGUUCUCAUCUCUGCGUUCCUGUCUUCCAGCCUCUGAUCAAUCGGUAAGUAGCUACUCUGAUAAAUCAUAUAUGUCUCUAUAUUAUUUAGAGGAAGAAUAUAAAACUAACACUUUUUUCUUUACUUUCUUGCAGAAGAAGUUAAGUAUUCCUAAACGGUUUCGAGGAGCUUGAAGUACAUACCAGAGCUGCAAGAGGAAGUGAAGAAGCUAAUACAAAAGAAGGAAGAACUUUUGGUGCGAGUAUCGGGUCAAAGAGACAUUGAACAUCACGUUAAGCAGCAACCAAAGGUGGUUGUGCGUUAUGUCUCGACUGUGUCUGUGACUAGGCUUGGAGACAACGAAGUGAUGGUCCAAAUCUCAUCGUCCAAGAUUCAUAGCUUUUGGAUAUCUAAUGUGUUAAGUGGGUUAGAAGAAGAUGGGUUUUGUUCUUGUGGAUGUUUCAUCGCCAAGGUCUCAUGGUGAAAGGCUUUUCUACACUUUGCAUCUUCAAAUGGGAUAUAUUGAUUACAAGAUGGAUUGCACAGAAUUAAGUCAGAGGAUUUUGUUUCUUUAGAAGAUAACUUGGUUGGUUUCUUUUAGUUAUGUCGUUCCUUUCUCUUCAACAUCGAACAUUCUUGAUCCCUAAGCAUUGUAAUUGAGUUGUUUCGGUUUACUAUGCAAAUAAUAUUACAGAAUUAAAUUUUUAAUUCUUUUUAUUUACUUCGACUCAACAUUACUGGUAAUAUACUCUUGUUCCGAAAUUUCGCUAGGUGUUGUACAUACACUUGAAUACUACUGAAUUGUGAAAAUAUCAAAAAUUAUCAGGGAUUUAUUUUUAUUCUUAUACUAUACUAGGUGUUUUGACCGCACAUGCGGACAUAAUUCUUUUAUAAAUAUUUAUUAAUAAAUAUACUAUUAGUUUAAAGAUCAAAAUUUUAAUUAAAACAUUAAAUUUAUACUAUUUUAUGAAUCUUUUAAUUUCUUUAAAUUUAUACUAUUUUAUAAAUCUUUUAAUUUCUUAGUUUUACUUUUACAGAUUUAAAACAUUAUUUUGGAUAAAACAUUAAUAUAUUAAUUUAAAAUAUGUUGUAAUAAUUAAAUAAAAUAUAUAUAUAAUUGUUAAUAUAAAGUGAUGUUUUCAAACCAAGGGAAAUUGCCACAAAUAUCACAUUCAUAGUACCACUUUUACUCUCACUUUUAAUGAAGGGUAAAAGACAUUUAUACCCUUAGAAUUAACUAAUCUAGAAUUAGGGUUUAAAGUUGAGAGGUGGGAUAUGGUUAUUGGAAUGUGAAAUUUAGGAUUCUAAUAAAUAUAUAAAUAAAUCCUUAAAAAAUAUAAAAAAAAAAUUUCAAACAUAAUUUUUGAUUUUCAAAAAGAAAUUUUGAAAAAACAAUUUGAAUUUUUUUUUAUAAAAAGUUCGAAUUUGAAAAAGUAUAAUUCGAAAACAUAAAAAAUAAAAAUUUAUUUUUAUUUUUUAAUUUUUAAUAUUUUAUUUAAAUAAUUAUUUAUUAUAUAUAUAUAUAUAACAUGGUUAUAAGAGUCUUUUGCCACUUAAUGAAAAAAAUAAUUCUGAAAAUGUCUCUUUAGUGGUAGUAAAGAUAAAUAAUAGUACCAUGAAAGUGGUAAACAUGAAAUUCCCCCUCAAACCAAAUGUAAGGCUAUGAAUAUGAUGCAGUACAAAAGCAGAAGAAACACAGGAGAAAUAGUCUUCAGUUUUAUAUGCACUUUUUGUCUAUUCAUCAUUAAUAUGCAGAACAAAAAGAAAAUAAUAUAAUAUUUAGUAAACUGUUUGUAAAUAAUUUUAUAUGUAAGAAAAAAAUUGUCCCGCAAACAUAGCAAAAAAAAGAAGAUGGCCAAAAAUAGAGGCCCAAUAGGUAAUUUUCUUCUUCUUUUUCUUAUAAAUACUACACCCAUCUUAAUUUAUUUCAUUAAUAAACAAAACAAAUUCUAUAAUUUUUUUGUAAACACUUAUAUAUUUUUUUACUUGACAUAUUCAUAAAUUUAACAUAAUUUUCUGCAUAAAUAUUUAUUUAGCUACACUAAAUAAUCUUAUAUAAUAUUUAAAUAAAUAGAAAACAUAUAUGGUUGGUUUUAUUUCAUCUUAUAAGAUUUUUAUAGAAAUCAGUUAAAUGAAUUCAUGCAUUUUAUUGAUUGAUUAUAUUUAUAAAUUUAAAUAGUUAUUUUAUUAUCAUUCAUAUUUUAGACAAUGAAAUAUUGUAUAUAAUUUCUUUUUUUGUGUCAUACAUACAUAUAUUAUGAGACAUUCAUGUAUUUUUAUCCUUUCUUUAACUGGUUUUUCAUAUUUCAGGUUAUAUAUACCCCAAAAAUAAUUGAAAAAUAAAAGUACAUUUUCAAUUUGUUUCUUAAGUGAAUUAUAAAAUUUUUAAUAUGUUAAAAAUAAGAUAUUUGGAGUUUCGACAAGGAAAACUUAUAACUAACAUUAGAGAAAUUAUUGCAAAUAUUUUAUGCACAAACAAAAAUACUCUCUAUUAACUUUUUCAAUUUAAUUGUAUGUUGUAAUUGUAUUUAUUUUAUAUAAUGUUUAAAUUUUGAUCAUAUUUAAUAAAAUAAUAACAUUUACUGUUUAUAUAUAAGAAUUUGUAAUUUUAUUUUAAAUAUUUUACUUAUAUUUUUUAAAUUCGUUUAAAUAUAAUAAUUCAGUAAAUUAGUUUAACUAGUUCGAUCUAUAUUUAUUCUGCGAAUUUAUUUAAUCGGUAUUUGUUCUAUUUGAUAUGCAUCGUAUGUUUGAUCCGUAUAUUUUUUUGAUCUGCGUCCCCAUUAAUUGUCGGUGGUGUUUUCUAUUGGUACAGUAACAAAAACGAGUCACUGGUCCCUUGUCAUUGGUCCCUUGUCAUUGGUCCCUUGUUCUGAGUGUUUUUCUGAGAAAGAAUAGUUUAGUAUCAUCGAGACUAGUGGCCUAGAAAACAUUGUAUGGGUCAAAGAUCAAGAAAGUUUUGUUCAGAAAAGAAACAGUAUAAAGACAAAAGGUAGAACACUGAUUGAUACAUAUAAGCCUUUUUGGUUAAAGAGAACACUAAUAUGUACCUGUUCAACGUGUGUGACGUGUGUUGUGUCCAAAGCACUUGAAAAAGAAUAUCAGUUUUAUCUAUUUAAUAGAGUAAUCAAGUGCACAUCAUCAUUCACAUAACAACUUCUCCUCAGAGACAAGAGAGAUGCCGAUUAGCCAGAGAGUUCUGAAGCAGGUUGCAGCCUUUCCGGUUGUUUUAGCCAUCGUUUGCUAUUUCUUCUUGCCAUCAAUCAACGCGCCGGACCUCCUAAAGGGCACGAAGAACGUUCUCCAAGUGGCUAAGACCAUUCCUCUCCCUGGCGAUGGACCAGAGAGCUUAGAAUUCGAUUCACAAGGUGAAGGCCCUUACGUUGGCGUCACUGACGGUCGCAUCCUCAAAUGGCGCGGCGAAGAGCUAGGCUGGGUUGAGUUCGCCCACUCUUCUCCUCACAGGUUCAAUCUUAACAAAAAAAUGCUAACCUUCCUAUGUUUUCAUUGUUCUAUUUAGUCGUUUAAUAGAUUUUGAUCAAUGUUCAAAAAAUCAUUAGGUAGUAAUUAAACGUUUUAUAGGGGAUUAGUUGUACUUGUAUAGAUGGGACGCCUACAGGCUAUCUAAGCCGAUUUUGAAAAAUAGUUCAUAAAUAUCGUUUCGCUUAAGGCUAAUUUAUUUAUGACAGAUUUAUUAGAGGGUUGACUUCUCUACGCCCCGCAAACUACUUAAAACCACAGUCAAUCCCCCUAGACUUUUAAGCUCUUCUCCUAACCCCACAAAAUUAAAUGAUUCAUCAAAUAUCCACCUAAACUAUUUAUUUCAAGUUAAUUACACAUUUUUUUCUUAUAUAAGAGUACAUGCGUUUAGAAAUUAAAAAAACGUUUAAAAAUAGCGAUUACUCUUUAUCCGAUCCAAUAAUUUUUUUUGGAUCCAUGAUCCACACAAAAAGACCCGACACGUUAAUAGAAAAAACCUAUGCUAACAAACCCUACCUUACACGUACACCUUAAACAACCUUACGCCACUCUCGUAAAGCACAUGUAUCGAAUUGGAGAAAGACAGAGCUACUAGGUGAAGGUUCUAUUUAUUAAAGAUGGAGAAUGAGGCACGCAUAAACUAAGGAAGGAUGGUGAUUUAUGAAUGUUCUUAUAACAAACCAAAUCUAUGAAUGAUGACCUUUGGGAGUUUUAAUAAUUCUUGUUUAGUUUUGCGUCUUAUGGUUAUUUUAAUAACUUUGUGAUCCUAUAAAUGAUGUUUUCUGAGAAUUUUUAGUAAACCAUUUUUCCUUGUGUUGACUUUGAAUAUUUUCCUUUAUAGGAAAAAUUAUAUUAGACGUUGUCUACGCUGAAUCCAGAUGAUGACAUGCGAACAUGUUGUUUGACAAUUGACACUUUUGUUGUUCUCAGACAAACAUAGACUAAUAAUCUUCAAGUUAUUGUGAUGACUGUGAUGGCUUACGUUUAACAUAAUCAAGUUUACAAAUGUUUAUGUAUAUAAAACAAACUAUGUCACUACAACAAAGUGGCUCCUUACAAACGAGAACAAGAUGAUCCCUUUGUCUCUUUUCUCUUGUUUUAUGGGAAAUAAGUAAGCAACAAAAUUUUCUAACACACAGAACACAGCCCGAUGGAGAUUAUAGAACUCUGGACAGAAUAAUGUGCAAUCUCAAAAAUUCAAUAGUAAAAGUCACAAAAGAAGAAGAAUUUUUCUUGACGUGGUUGCAGCUUGUAGCGCCCUAACUCUAGCCUUUAAGACCAUCCCGGGUUCAUCUGCCACUUGCAUUGAAUAAAAAUUUCUUGGAGCUUGUAACUAAAGUUCUUCGGUAAUAUAUAGCUUUAGACAUAGGUCCUGGAACAAAAGGGAACUGAAACAUCCACCAAACCACAAAUAAUCCAAAGCAAAAAACAUAUAAGAAAACUUACAUAGAAUACCUUAGAUCGUGUUCAUAAAAAAAAGAAAAAGAAUAUUGUAGAUCGUUGCUCUCUUUUACGUUGUAAGUAAGAUUCAAAUCUUAAACUAAAAAACAAUCUCUAUGAAGCUUCCUUAAGCUUCUUUUCAUAGAGAUGAAGUAUGAACCCUAGUUUCAGAGCAAUUGAGGGCGAAAUUAUGUCGAGAGUUUCAUAUUCGGGUCUUUUAACUUAAGUCGGGUCAUACGGUUGGGUGGGGAGAUUAUCGGGUAGUUUUAUGGUCAACGUGAUUUGUCUGAUCGCGUUUUAUGAAACUAAACGCAAUCACGUCGAAAUCAUACGAUAUGUGGAAUUAAUUCAGGAAAAAUACUUUAGGGAGAAAACUAAUGAAGCAGAUUAGUUUAUGGGGUUUCUUAAUGAGCCUAAAAGUUUAGGGGGGUUUGGUGUGGGUUUAAGUAGUUUGGGGGGUGUAAAGAAGGCAUCCCUUUAUUAGAACAUUGAUUCACAUUAACCUUGCUAAUGAAUCUGACCUCCUCCCCUUUUUUUUGGUGAGUGAAGAGAUAACUGUUCAAGGCAUAAAGUAGUUCCAAGUUGUGGGAGACCAUUGGGACUUAGCUUCCAUAAGAAAACAGGAGAUCUGUACUUUUGUGAUGGU
This 73744-nucleotide long non-coding RNA is filed under the name Brassica napus (rape). RNAcentral's name for it is "long non-coding RNA (BNAP_LNC015819)". The record is from RNAcentral. Lineage: Eukaryota; Viridiplantae; Streptophyta; Magnoliopsida; Brassicales; Brassicaceae.